CCAUUCGCCUGUGGAUAAUACGGUGUGGACUGUUCCAGCCGAAUUUUCAAAUUGGCCGUGUAUUCCUUAAACCUUUCGGCUGUGAAGAUUGUUCCAUUGUCGGUUAUGAUCGUUUCUGGUACACCGAACCGGGUCACAAUGUGUUCCUCCACGAAAUCGCAAACUUCUUUAGAUGUUAACUCGGCAUAUGAUUUUGCUUCGACCCACUUAGUAAAGUAAUCAGUUGCGACUAUUAUCCAUGCAUGCUUAGCAGCUCCAGAAGUCGGCGUGAUUUUGCCGAUUACGUCCAUGGCCCACCCCAUAAACGGCCACGGCUUAAUGACCGAAUGUAGCGAUUCGGCCGGGACCCUUUGUAUAGGCCCAUGGAUUUGGCACUGCACGCAUCCUCGUGCAAACUCGAUACAAUCUUUCAGUAUUCUCGGCCAAAAAUAACCGUGUCGUCGGAGUAGCCAUCGCAUUUUCCGUCCAGACUGGUGAGCUCCACAUACCCCUUCAUGAACCUCUGCGAUCGCUCGAGCACUCUCUUGGGGGCCGAGGCAUAGCAAUAACAAACCAUCUUCGCCCUUUCGUACAACUCGUUCUGGUACGUGACAUAGUUCGUGGCGUGAGUCCGUGUUCUGCGACUAUGUUUUCCGUUAGGAUUGUCAAGGUACUGCAUAAUGGGCUUUCUCCAAUCAUCUGGUACUACCUCGACCGCGCAAAUUUCUAUAGAGUCCUGCCGAUCUAACAACGAAGGCAAGGACAUGACCCUGGUGCGUAUCACAUUGUCCCGACGGAGGAUUUGCUGAUCAACCAAGGCCGGGUAUAAUUGUUGUAAUAUUGGUAUCUCCCGGCCUAGCUUGCCCCCCAGGAGUUGUGCACCGGAGGCAAUUUGAGCCAACUCGUCUGCGUCGGUAUUAUGAACCCGAGAAACAUGCUCGAAUGUAAUACCGUCAAAGGACUCGGCCAAAUAGCUGACGACCAUGUAGUAAGGCGCCAGAGUACAACUCAUGCAGCGAAAAGACCCAUUAAUUUGGUUAAUCACUAGUUCAGAAUCCCCGAGGACGAGGACACGAGUGGCAUGUAGGUCAAGAAGGAGGCCUAGACCAAUGACCAGAGCCUCGUAUUCGGCCUGAUUAUUGGUGCAGUCGAAAUCCAAUUUGAGCGAAAAAUACCAACGAUCGUUGUGAGGAGAUUGAAUGAGGAUGCCUGCGUCGGCCGAGGACGAAAUACUGGAACCAUCAAAAUACAUCGUCCAAUAGUUGUCGCGGGUCACCACCAUGCCAAUCUCGACAUCAGCACCCCCGAAAUCGUAAGGCGAAGGGUGCUGGGCAAGGAAAUCGGCCAACGCCUGUCCUUUCACAGCUUUUUGCGGCACGUACUGCAAACUAAACUCGGACAACGCCAUCGUCCAUUUCCCAAUUCGGCCCUUCACAAUUGGCUGGGUAAGCAUGUACCGGAUAACGUCGGUCUGGGCAAUGACUUGGGUGACCGACGGGAGCAUGUAAUGCCGAAGCUUGGAUGCAGCGAAGAACACGGCGAGACAGAGCUUCUCAACGGCGGAAUAAUUGAUCUCCGGAGGACUCAGAUUAUGGCUGAGGUAGAAGAUAACCUGUUCCCGUCCGGCAUCGUUGUCUUGCGCGAGGAGGCAACCGAUGGACUCGUCGGCCGCCGAAAUGUACAGCUUGAGAGGCUUACCGCGCUGAGGAGGGACCAGGACAGGUGGGUUUGUAAGGGAAACCUUGAUCUGCGUGAACGCCGCCUGGUGCUCCUCAUUCCACAUGAACUUAUCUGAGUCCUUGAGCUUCAAAAGUGUGGAAAAUGCUUUCAUUUUACCUGCCGAAUUAGCAAUAAAUCGGCGUAAAAAAUUGAUCUGGCCGAGUAAGGACUGUAAUUGUUUCUUCGUUGUUGGGGGUGGGGCGGUAAUGAUUGCGCGUGCCUUAUUCUCAUCGACUUCAAUCCCACGAUGAUGUACGAGGAAACCAAGAAAAUUCCCGGCCGAUACACCGAAGGCACACUUGGCAGGAUUCAUCUUGAGGUUGUGCUGUCGCAUACGGAGGAAAGCCUGUCGGAGAUCGUCCAGAUGUGUCUGUCGGCGUUUAGAUUUGACGACAACAUCGUCGAUAUAAACUUCGACGAUGGUGCCAAUUAAAUCAUGGAAGAUGGUGUUCAUCGCCCGUUGGUACGUAGCGCCGGCAUUCUUGAGGCCGAAUGGCAUGACAACCCAUUCGUAAGUGCCGAGUGCCCCCGGGCAACGGAAAGCAGUUUUGUGCACAUCGGCUUCGGCAAUAAAUAUCUGGUUGUAUCCGGCAUGUCCAUCCAUAAAGGAUAAGAUCGCAUGAUUCGCAGCGGCAUCGAUUAACAGAUCUGAAAUCGGCAUUGUAUACUCAUCUUUGGGCGUUGCCAGAUUCAGAUUUCGAAAAUCGGUGCAGAUGCGAAGUGCACCACUUUUCUUUAAUACAGGAACAAUAUUCGCCAACCAUUCGACAUAUCGAGCUGUCCGAAUGAACCCGGCUUUCAAAAGCCGAACUAGUUCGUCCUUGACACUGAGUUGUACGUCAGUCGAGAAUCGACGAGGUGGCUGUCGGAAAGGCUUGAAUCCGGGCUUAAUACGUAAUUCAUGCUCGACUAAAGCACGAUCUAAGCCGGGCAUUUCAUGAUAACUCCAAGCAAAACAAUCUUUGAAUUCCGUAAGCAAGGCCCGCAACUCGUCCUUCAUUUGUUGAGGAAGUAACGCACUAAUAAACAAAAGUCGUGGGUUAUCGGCCGUCCCAACAUUAAUUUCUUCCAACGGGUCCUUAACAAGAGGCCGAUGAUCUUCGAGCUCGGCCGGGGCGGCUCGAAUUUUAUCAAAAGAUAAUACAGGCCCAUUAUCUCCCUCAGCAAGGAAUUCGACGAGGUUGACGCCCGAAUUUGGUUGUUUAGAUAUCGUAUACCAAUGGGCCAGCAGUCGUUCCAUAGUAGAUGAAACCGCGGCCCUACGUGCUUCCCGAUCGGCGUCAAACAUCGGUUUCGGGGAGAAAGUUAGCUAAUCCGAGUCUCGCCGAAUCCUGCUGGACAGUCUCGGCGCCAACCUCGAUAGCUUUCUGAACGGAAAUCCGAGUCGGUCGUCCUUCUUCAUUGAAGCCUUGCAACGUAAUAUAGCCGACGUGAUCGUCAUAAUACCGUGCUUGAAUCAUAUUGGCUUCGAAGGGCUGGCUAUCGGCCGGAUGAACAGUGACCGAUUUGCCGUCCCAAAAGACAAGCACUUGGUACAAUGAAGAAGGAAUACAGCUGGUUUGAUGAAUCCAAUCUCGGCCGAGCAGUGCAUUAUACUCGGUUUUGGAAUCAACCACAAAAAAGGCGGUCAUAUGGGUGCGACCGGCAAUAUUCACAGUUAACGGAAGCACACCUUUGGUGUGGGACUUGUCGCCGACAAAACUGCUUAUUGUGAUCCCUGACGGAAUAAGUUCGUCAUUUGAACGGCGUAAGGCCUUCAUGAUGUUCAGGGGCAUGAUAUUGACAGUAGCUCCACAAUCGACAAAAACUUUAGAAACCGGAUAUCCCUCGAUGUGUGCUGUUACAUACAAUGGCUUUAAAUGGUGAAGCUUGGCAGAUGAUAAACGAGGGAACAAUUCGGCCAAAGCAGCCUUUAGACUAUCAUCUUUUGUUGGCUCGCCUUCAGCAAUUGAUACAAAAUCCACAUGGCCGGGUUCCUCAGCAACCACAUCUCCAUCGAGGAAAUUUGGUUGAGCCGUGCUUGAUUGAAAAUCAGCAGGUAACACAUGAACCAUACUGAUUUCCAUAUUAUCCAAGACUGACGGGCCCAACUGGUCGAGACCUUCCUCGUUCGGUUGGUCAGCGACUUCGUAUUCAGUUAUCGUCAGAGUCGGACAAUGAGAUUCUUCCGUCCCUUCUUCAAUAAUGUCACUCGGCGGAGCCACUUCGGCCACUUGUUGGUUCUGCGUGACCGCCUCAGGUAAGGUCGAGAUUGACAAUGAACUUGGGGUCAAAACCUGAACCUGCUCCUGGUAGUGUAGCCGAGCAUCCCUAGUGUCAAGAUAAGCAUCGAGACGGGCAAUACGUGCGAUUUCAUCGGUCGUAAGGCCGAAGAGAGAAACCGCCGAAAAUACUUCAAAGUGAUACCGUAAAUACUGAAGGUCCUCCAGCGAGAAAGGAAGGUCGGCUGCAUUGAUAUCGAUGUACGGGUCGACUUCAAACCCAAAAACACGAGCUUCUCGUAUGUGCUGGAACCUUGCUUUCAAUCCGGGGUUUGAGGUCUUCUGGAUGAUUCGCUCGGCAUCCGGACAAGUCAGGAUCAGAUCAAUGGUGUCCUGGCAUGCCUUCGGUAAACCAUACAGAUCGUUGGCCGAAUGACUCUUAUGAAAUUCUCGCAUAUACUCUAAAGACUCCCCAAGGAACGGGGGAUGCAAAUUCCGUCUAAUUUUGAUCUUGUGUAACUAGCGGGGAUAAUUUGCUUUCGGCCUCUUGCCUGAAAUGUUCAAGGCGUGCCUUCAUUUCCCCUGGUCGAAUAAGAAGUUUGAUCCGUUUAUCAGCUUCUUCAAACAUGGUCUCGACGUCUUGAUCGACCAGCCGUUUCCCCUGAGCCAACUCUGUCAUAAUUGCUGGAAGUGGUCGCUCCUCAUCAUUGGCAACUGUAUCCUUCGGCCGCCACUUAGGGGCCGAAGUUUCUUGGGCUGCUUGUCGGCGAGCCAUGCAAUCUAUCCGUUGAUGCCGGCGUUUCUGAGAUUUGGACAACGCGGUAUAGACGCCCUUCGAAGAAUGGUAUGUAUACCAACGUUGAUCUCUAGGCUCAGGAGGCUUGAAGGUCUUUUGACUCCGUGAUGAUCCUGAACUGCUAGAAUUACGCUUAUAGUAAUCAUCGUCAUAAAAUGAAGCAUCAAAAUCGAGGCGCCGCCUGACCGGGGGUGUCUCUUCCAUCCGUACUUUAGGACCGAGCCUCCCAAAAACCCCAUGAUGUUGGUCUUCAUUGGCUAUCUUUUGCCGAGUUACGGCCACGGGUUGCGAAGAAUGUUUCUCUUCUGGUUCACUGUCGACCUUCGUUUUACAUUUCCUGCACAGAACCGCCGUCCCACUAUCUUCAUCGGCGCUACACUCCGUCAUAGAUUUGACAAUAGCGGGCCCCGUUAAGGCCGCAGAUGGUUUAUUUGAACGCGAAUCGGCCAUGAACCGUGGCCGAACAUUCUGAUUCCGCGGGCGUUGUGUCUCAACCACUUCAGCCUUGCCUUUCCCUUUGUCCUUGGGUAGGUACGCGUCGACCAUAUUUACUGUUGCCGUGGGGAACGGAUCAGUAUCAACACUCAUCAUCUUCUCAGGGAACUUCAGUUUGCCAUUAUCAAUCCAGCUUUGGACGUUAUCACGAAAUACGACGCAAUUGUUUGUCGUGUGUUUGCUCGAAUGGUGGUAUUUGCAAUACACCUUUCCUUUAAGCUCCUCGGCCUUAGGAAUGUUAUGACCAGGCCGAAGCUUAAUGAUUCUUGCUGAUAACAGUUGGUCAAAAAUUGCGUCAGCCUUGGUAAUAUCAAAAGUAUAAACCUUUGACGGUUUCGAUGUUCCUUCAGUGGCCGAGCGACUUUUGGCUUCUCUAGAAUCAACCUGAGUCAAUGCCUUGCAAAUGUAUGGUUUAUCUAUUACUAUCUCAGCCGCAUCCACACUAACACAUUCAUCCUCGGUUGAUGCAUAAUUGACAGUAGGGUUCUUGUAAAUCGUUCCCCGAGUUGGAGUCUUCGAAGUCUUUUCCUCGCGGAGCAAAUAAUCGUACUGCUCGACAUGCUGGGCCAAUUCGUACAUAUCCCGAAAAUUUGCCCCCAAGAAUUUCUUUUUGUAUUCGACGUCAAGACCAUUCAAAGCAAGCCUGACAAAUUCGACUUCGGGUAAGGGCACUCGGCACCAAUUCCUAGCCGAUUUAAACCUAGUAAGAUAAUCCAUUGGUGACUCAUCAGAUGCUUGAGCCAUCCGUGCUAAUGAAGAAACUGACAUCUCCAUCCCCGGCCGAUAAAAUUGCUCGUGGAACUUCUCGACCAACUCCUCCCAGUUUUGGACGGAAUUAGGCGGGAGAUUGAUGUACCAGGCAAAUGCCGAGCCGGUCAAUGAAAAAUUGAACAGCCGUAACUUGUGGAAAUCACUAUUCACAUCUCCACAUUGCGCGGUGAAACGAGCCACGUGCUCCAACGAAGACAGGGACGAUUCACCAGCAAAAAGACUAAAAUCUGGGAUCUUGAAGCCCUUCGGGUAUCCAAACGUCUCCACGUAAGCUGGGUACGGAUGAAUAAACUUGGGAAACUUCGGCCCUUUCUUCAUAGCCGAGUCGAUCAUCCGCUGAACUUCGGUCAUAUCAACAGAUGCUGCUUCGACCCUUUGGUCGGUCCCGUCUGACCUACUGUUCGACCCUCCUCCCUUCUCCAAGUUAAUUGUUUUGAGCGGGGCAGGAAUAGGCUCGACCGGUACAAUCGGUACCGGGUUGUUUCCUGGUAAACAAUGUUGGCGAAGCUCGAAAGGCCUGCUACCACCAACUUGACUGACCAGCAUUUCAAGCAACCUGGUCUGUCGAUCAUUGGAACUGAGUAUCGCAUCAUGCAGCUUGUCAAUGCCUCGACUAAACGUCUGCUCGACUGACCGAGACUGCUCGUCCAAUCGCUUUCGAAGAAACGACCUUGUUGGUGGAUCAGAUCUUUCACCACCAUCCUCGUCACACUCUUCCACUAUCCCUUCAGCGAGAACACAGGUGUUCCUGUUAGGGAUUUCUGGACCGCGGAGUUGACUGCCGAGAUUAACUUCUCUCUCUCGGCGGGUCGCACUCGUGGACUCAGGUGUCACGGCGCUAUGGGGAUUCUGCGCCUGUGGCACACUUUGUCCCGCGCUUUGAUUCGGCAAAUCAGCUAUCGACUUUCCCAUAGUGGUUUUCUUUUUUACCGAUCGUGUUUCAAUUGGCAUGAACUUCGUAGUUUAGCACUAGGUCCCACUGGGAGUGCCAAAAUGUUGACCCUAGAAACUACAAAGCCUACGUGGCGCGCAGGCCGAGUAAUUAAUGAGCUAACUACGUCCUUCGGUGAUUGCGGGGCGUGCCAACUCGUCGGCCGAGGCUCGGCCGAGGAGUAAAUUUGAUAAUGCUGUGUCGAGUCGCGCUACUGACUUCUGCGUCUUGCGAUUGCGGCCGAGAAAGGAACACGUCUCGGCCUCUUGGGUUCUCAAGCCUGAAGACAAGGCUGCUAUUUCUUACAAAGUUCACGAACCGAAUUCGGCUUGCAAUGUGCCGAAUGUAAUAACUGUAACACCUCACUUCGCCGAGAAGGCUGAUGAGAUGACCUCGACCAAUAAGGAUUUAGAAACCCUUCUCGACCGAGACUUGGAUAGGUAAUCAAUCGUUCUCGCCGCAGUGCUGUUGAUGCCAACGGAAGAUACUGCGAGACCGACUCUACGGUGACAGAGCUAUCUAUGCCGACUUAAGAUAUCACCGGUUGCUUCCACAGUGCUGUUGAUGCCAACGGAAGAUGUGUCAGCGAAAAAGGAAAAGAAAAAGAUCUCAAGUUGUGAGAGUUUGCGCGGGGCAAUUUUGUAUUGAUUUUGUGGGUCCUUUUCCAUUGCUGAAUGUCUUGUAUUUAUAGUAGCAGAACACCGAGCCUGAGUUCCAAUCCUACUUGAACUAGGUUUCCCUUUCCGGAUUACCUCGAUCAGUCUUAUCUCUACUAGGACUCGAAUCUAGUCCUUAACUGAGCCGGAUUCGCCUUCUAGUUUUACAGAUCUCGUCAAGGGUCCCUAUUGUAUUAGGACUCGACUUGCAUUCUGAUUUAACCGACCUAGGCUUGGAAGCCCAUGAGCUGAACGUCCUACGACCCUCUGGCCGUACGUCUUCCCGGGCCAAAAGUGAUUCCUCCCUCGGCCCAAACUGUUAUUUUGGGCCCAAACAACAGUACAUGGUCAUAUUUGCCUCCAUCUUCAACCGAGGGCCAAAGGGCCAUAGGGCCAAACACAAUUUAUUAUUUAAAUUUAAAAACUACAACAACUUAAAUUUAACAAACUACAACUUAUGUUUAAAAACUACAACUUAAAUUUAAAAACUACAAAUUAAAUUUAAAAACUACAACUUGGUUAAUGUUAUUUAAUGUUGUUUCAUAUUGUUUGACACACCUCGACCAGAAUCAAGGCAAGCUGGCCGUCACGUGAGGGUGACGUAGCCAUGAGCGCAGAGCGGAAGUGACAGUAAUAUGACAAUGUGAGUAAAUAAAAACCAAACUAGUUAACUUACACUAGAUAAGUAUAUAAGUGCGAGUGAAGGUAUUCAAAGUGUAGAUACACAUAUUCAGGGCAUAGGUAACCUAAGUGCAAUCCAGCCAGCUAGGUAAGAAUUAUACAAGGCAUGAAAGAAAUCCCUACAUUAUUUUAAGUCUGUCAGAACCGCCGUAGAGUCUUCGUAAGCCAUCAAUACGAAUUUCUAACUAGAACCUGGAGGGGCGCAAAACAGAAAAAGUGAGUGGGCAAAAACAAAGCUUUUUAAAACCAUUUCACUUUCUGAAAAUAAUAACCCCUCACCAUAAAACCCAAAUAAUUUUCCAGAAAAUAGUAAUACAUACGUAUGUAGAAAUCAUGUUCGAGAGUAAUGAAAACCGAGUAUAUGCCAUGUCAAGUAUCUCAGCAAUGAAAUAAGUUAACCAGGUGAAAUAAGUCAAUAUGAAUGAUAUGCCAGCCAGAGUCACCUAACGUGACCUGUACAGCUGAACCUAUAGCUCAUCAAAUAUGCCUACACACGAAUCGGAAGUACUACGAUCAUGUGAAGGUUGUGCGAAUAAUCGCGGGUCACCUACGAGUCGGAACCACUUAAUAUGGUUUGUACAAUAGGACCGUGCACCAAACUUGGAUCCAAGGUGAGCAUGCAGUGCGGGAGGUGAACAUCACGUGAAGGACUAUGCCCUGGCCACGGGCGGGAGCACUAACAUCGGGGUGCAAGAUAAUAAGCUCUACAUGCCUCUACGUAUAACCAUAACCAAUGUAACCACUAACAUCAUACAGUACUCACCUGAAACUUACCUGGCCUCCGCAACGUCAUACAACAAUUUGCAUAUACAUACCAAUGCAUUUAAUAAAAUGAAAUGCAAGCAUGACAUGGCAUUUAAAAGAAUACACUCGUUUCAAAACAGUUUCUGGGAAAAUGUAAAACAUAUAUACGUGUAUAUAUAUAUAUAUAGAAAACCAAAAGCCCACUCACUGGUAUGUAGCAAGGUCGUAACCCCCGAGUCUCGUCUGGCUACCCUCGUCCUCCAGAAACGUCUCACCUAUAUGUUAAACAACUAAUUUAAUGUUAAUUUUAAGCACAUAACCAAAACCGCGUAAUAACUUCUCAUACUUUGCUCAAUUGGGGUAUUUGAAUAUACCAUUGUGGCCUACUCAACAUCACAAGCAUCCCCAUAUUUUUAGAAAAAUUUUCCGAUGUACCAAGCGCCGGCCACGCGCAGGCAUGUGCCUGGCACACUAACGGAUUCCGUAACGGCGUUAGGGAAUAUUCCGUUAAAUUCCUAGAAUAUCUCGUUAAAGUUACCUGACGUCAUCAGUAUAUUCCAUCAAAGUUGACGGAAUAUUCUCCUUCCUUCUCUAGUGGUUCACCAGAUUCCGGCGCCGAUCGCGGAUGCAUCACCGGUUUCUAGAAAAAUUUAAAAUCUUAAUAUUUCCCUCAAAUCUCAACCAAAAUUUCACAAAUCUUAAAUAGAUUUGAAGCUCUCAACAAGGAGAACAUAAUCUUACCUAUUUGAAGACCUUAAACCUUCUGGAAAUGUUUGGAAAAUAGCUUGACACAACCGGCCAAAAUUGGAACUCGACAAACUCGAGUAUUCCAAAGUUCGAACCACUCCAAAACUAGCCUAGGAUCAUUAUAGAUUUGAUUAGGACCAUUUUGAGCCUUAAAAUCUCGUGAAAUGUCCAUAAUCACGUCGGAGUAACAGAGUACCUCAUCAGAGCUUAUGGUUCUUCACAAUUCUGACGUCCUUUCUUUGAACAGAGGAUAUGGUUAAGCUCGCGGGCUUGCAAGGAACUCGAGGGUGGUCCUUAGAAGUUCAAUCUGUGAGGUUUUGGUUCAGUUUGAGUGUGGUGUCAUCGGUUGUACGGACGAAUGGGAGAAUUCGAGAAAGAUGGAGAAAAUGCAGGCUUGUAUGUGUGUGUGUGAUCUGUCACGGGUUGGCCAAAGAAAAAUAUUAAGGGCUCCCCAUUGGGCAGCUGUGUGUGGGAAAGGAGAGAGGGAGAGUCCAAGUGGCCCAAAAUAUAAUUUCAACCCCAAAUUUGAUUGGGCUAGGAAAUAUAUGAAUAGCUGGGAUUGGUUUAGGUUUUAUUUUCCUAUUUUGACGCAAUUAUAUUCUAACGUUUGUAACAUCAAGUACGAUUUAAUUACAACGGCGAGAAAAUAAUUUAAAACUACAUAUACCCAUCCACGUCACUUAGCCAACGAGGGCAUAUUCGUCAUUUUACACACUCGGGGAGAAAAUAUAUAAUAAUUCGGGAAGGGUCGUUACAUUGUUUAAUGUUGUUUCAUGGUACUUAAUUUAAUUUAAUGUUGUAUAAUGUUCUAUGAAGUUAUAGGAAAAAAAAUAGAAUUUAAAAAAAAAUUGAAACAAAUUUUGUAAAAUAGAAGUUAUAGGAAAAAAAAAAGAAUUUAAAAAAAAUUAUGAAAUGAAUUUUGUAAAAUAGAAGUUAUAGGAAAAAAAAUUGUAAAUAAAUAAAUAAAAACUAUAAAAAAAAUAACAACUAGCUAACCUCAGCUAGUUGUUGUAUUUAAAAUUUUGACCUAGCAUUCCUAUUGGAUAUAACCGACAGGAAUGCUCAAAUUUCUGGCCAAGCUCGGGGCUGGCUGCCUGGCUAGAUUGGGCCAGCUGGUUUGCCCUUUGGCAUUUUCUGAUUUUGUGGGGCCCACGAGCCCUCUGGCCUAGACCUCGGUUGGAGACGGUUUUGUGGUGUUUUUCGGCCAUCUGGACCAUUCGGUUGGAGAUGACCUAAGAAUUCUAAAAUCGAAACUUUGUAGAGUUAAGAAAAUUUAACAAACCAGAUAAACUAGAAAUAAACCUAUACGAAUCAUGGUAGAAUAUAUAAGUCAUAGAUGCUCAUAACUCCUAAGAGUAAUUCUAGGAAGACUAAAUUUGUUGACUAAAUUUUGUAAACUAAAUGACAUGAAAGUUAAUAAGUGGAUUAUUAGUUAAACGUUGAUAAACGUGCUCAUUUCUUAUUGGUGACACAUCAUUUAAUUUGCAAAUUUAGUUUACAAAUUUAGUCUUCUUAACAUUAUUCGAUCAACUCCUAAAGCACAUGCAUAUCAUACUUCAAAAAAAUCAAACAGUAGUUCUCUCUCUCUGUCUUUAUAGCAUCGUUUGUUUUUACUCUAGUCCUAGUCCAAUACAUCAAUUAGUUUAUUUUUUGCACAUCUUAUCAUGUGAAAAACUCAAAUUAGAACAAAGUUUACCGUAUUUGACUGAUCAAGCUAACAAAUGCUAACAAAAUGAAACUACAAGGGCGAAAAUGCAAAAUGCAAAAUGUAAAAAAAAAAAAAAAAAAAACCUCCAAGGAUGAAAGUAAAUAUUCGAGGAAACUACAUGAUUUUCUGAGUGUUCAAAAUCGAGUAGUAUUUCUCUAUAUUGAUAAUUAAGAGGUCAUGUACAUAACUAGAUCCUGAAAAAUGAGACAGUGAAAAAAAGUUACUUCUCUCCCAAACCUGUGCCUUUUCUCACCCAUCAAACUAGAUUUGAAAGCCUCCCUAGCCGUUGCCCUUUGCUCCAGCUUGGGGUCAGCGGUAGCCUGACUCCCACCUUCUUCUAGUCCUCCUUCCUAUUCCCUUUCCUUUUCCACCUUCUACAUCUUUCCUCUUCUCCAUCCUUCCACUCGAAAGGUUUUAAUUUUUUGCAUUUUUCUCUUUUGGCCUUUGUUUUGGCUUUCCUUGAACUUUGUCUCAAUUUCCCUGUGUUUGUCUCAGGUCUGGACUUUCAUGGCCCUCUCUUGCUUCGUUGCUACUUUCCAUCGUGCGUCCUCAACCAUCGGCCUCAAUUACUCGGCCAGUGUACUUCUCCUCAUGUGUUGGGUGGCUGUUAAAGUGCAAUAUUUGGUAGGAUUAUGAGAGCGCUCACUGCUCGGGUGGCUUGCUGACCCCCUUUUUCCGUUCAUAUAGUUGUUUCGUUGGUUCAUUGUCUUGGUGGUGGUGGCCGUCUUGUGAGAGAGGCGCAUUUGUAGCUGCUGGAUUUCAUUCCAGUUUUAGGGUUUUUUUGUUAUUGUUCAGUUGGCCACUUUUGAACCUUUUUAUUAUAUGUUCUUAUUUGUUGUUGGACUUACAUUUAGGUUAUGGACUGCUUUUGUACUUUCUUUUUCAGGUACUACUAUUUUUAUUUAAUGAAAAUAAUCUACUUUGAAAAGAAAAAAAUUCUGAAUAACUCAAUGUGUUGGCUACUCGGCUUCACGCAAUUUUGUUGUACCAAAAAGUAAAACACAUGUUUCGACGAAAUAAAAAAAAAUUAAAAAAUAAAACAGAUGUGAUUGUCAUGUCAACAUCGUUACACGGCUACGCAAUUUAUAUAGUCAAAUUUCAUCACGAAAAACACGACAAAAUAAAAAACAACAUUUCAAUGUCAGUCAAUUUUUAUUUUCCAGUAUCUACACGUUGCCACCUUGUACAUUAUACAGCUGACACUGAUGAGCAAUAAUAACUUGUCAAAUUCAGAAGAGGGUUUCUUUGGCAUCUUGGGAAAUGAUAGAAAAUGAAAAGGAAAAGGAAACGCCCCUUAUCUCUUGCAUGUUGCAUCACAAGGGAUGCACAAAAACUUCAGAAAAAAUCUGCCCAUAAGAACAUCUUUAAAGAAAAUAUCAAAUUUUGAACAUAAAAUUUAAAUUUUGACAACUUAUAUGGUACUUUGACAUCUUUUAAAGUUUUAUUCUUCAACCGAUAUAUCAAAUUAAAUUAUUAUUUUAUAAAAUAAAUUAUUAAACUAAUUAAAAUUUAAUAAAGGACAUUUAAAGUUUAAUCAGUAAUUUGUUCCCCUUCCUCGAUUGGAAAGAAGAAAAAAGUAGGAUAAUUGUAUCGGUCAACUCAACAUUAAUUAUAGUAAAUGAUUAAAUGAAUUACAAAUUAAUAAAAUACAUUUAAUAAUUAAUAAAAAAACAUUUCAAGCUGUUGUCAAAUUUGACAACAACCUCUUUUGCUGCCAAUCCAUGUCAUCGUCACAUAGGAUUUGGCACUUCGGCUGGAGAAUAUUAAUGUGGUCUUUUUUUUACUGUUAUAACUUAUGUGUAUAUUUUGGCAUCUCAUUUGAAGAUGCUCUAACAUUAAGUGUAUGUUUGGUACUCUACUUGAAUUCAACUUUUUAAACUCAAAAAUAAUUUUCAAGUUUUAGGCCUUAAAAACUUGUUUGGUAUGACUACUUUUUCAAAAAUUAAACUCAAGACUAACUAAAAAUAUAUAGUAUAUUCUCUAAAAACCAGUGUUCUAAAAAUCACUCUAGGCGCCCGCCUAGGCGUUCAUCGGUGGUCUCCUGAUCCGAUUUAGGGGAAAUCGUUACAAAAGUCAGUGGGUAUCUAGGCGGCCGCCUAGGCGCUCUAGGCGAUGCUCAAGGCGGUUUGAAAUUCUUGCCAGCGUUGAAGGCUCUGCAACUAUUACUGUCUCGAACUCUCAUUAGAUUUGCAACUCUAACUCCCGCAUCUGCAUCAAAACUCUCAUCUGCGUCCGCAUUUGGAUAUAGCCAUGAUUUCUUUGCUAGAGGUUUCUGGAGAAAAAAACGAGAGAGAGAGAGAGAGAGAUAACCCUGGUUGCUUUGCUAGAGGUUUCUAGAGAGAGAGAGAGAGAGAGAGAAAGAGAGAGAGAGAGAGAGAGAGAGAGAGAGAGAGAGAGAGAGAGAGAGAGAGAGAGAGAAGAGGUUUCACGGACUAAUAGGAAAUUAAAGUGGGAAGAUAGUUGUGGAAGGAUCAGGAUCCUCUCCUGAGCAAAUGGAGAAGAUCCUCCUCACCGGUCCCAUCAGGCCGUUUAAAAUUUAUCCAACGGCUACAACCAGAGGGCUCUACUAAAAGUUAUAAUAAUUAUAACCGUUGGAUAACUUUUGAACGAUCUGAUGGGCCCGGUCAGGAGGAUCCUCUCUAUUUGCUCAAGAGAGGAUCCUGAUCCGUUGUGGAAAGAGAGAUGUUGCUGUCUAUUUGCCAUGUCUAUGUCAGUAAGGAAUAAGAAAUUUAUUUUUAUAUAAAGAAAUAAGGUUGUUUAUUAAAUGAAAAGUAAAGCCCAAUCUUAAUCAAGAAAAUAAGCAAAGCCCAAUAAUAAUUAAAAUAUAUGGGCUGAGUAAAUGUUAUAAACUAACAUAAAAAGCCCUAAAAAUUUUACAAAUAUACUCUUAUUUUAUAAUAUAUAUAAUAAAUAUACAUAAAUCCAUCUAAACCGCCUAGACCCCACCUAGCCGCUCCCGCCGCUCAACUAGCGCCUAGCGUUUUUUAGAACCUUACUAAAAAUACAAAAAAUGAGUUUUUAAAGAUUUUAAACUUAAACUCAUUCCUUUCUUUUCUCUCCCUCCUCCCCUCCCACUCUAAAUCUAUCUCUCUUUUCUUCUUUCUCUCUCCCCCUUCUUUCUUUUUUUUUUUUAUAAUUUUUUAUAAUUUUUUAAACAUUUUUCGUCUCUCCUCCAAUCUACCAUUUUCAUCUCUCCUCCAAUUCUCUCUUCAUUAUCUCGGUUCUUUCUCUCACUCCUCUUCCUCUAUCUCCUCCAAUCCUCUCACUUCUUUCUCUUUCCUCCAAUCAUUUCUUACUUUCUUUCCUCCUCUCUCCUGUCUCUUGACCCCCUCUUUUUGAAUUUCUUUGUCCAGUCUAAGUUGUACGAUUCAAAACUUUUAAAUCGCAUACCAACCAAGUUUUUGAGUUUUAAAGAAAAUUGUUUUAAAAAAAAAUUCUUAUGAAAUGCUAUGAGAAAUUAUAAAAAAUUUCAAAUACGAUACCAAACAAGCCCUAAAAUUUCCAAGAAAAAGUUGGAGAUGUAUGGAGAUUCAAAGCCUUUUAAAACUUCAAUCUUAGAACUCUGACCUUGUUGACAUCAAGUCAUUUUUGCUAAAGAAGAAAUCCGUACACAUAACGACCGAAAAAGCAAAACGAAAACCUACCAGCAAAACUUGCAAUAGGAUCAGAAUUUGUGGCGCAUUGCUGCAUGCAGUUUAUGAGUUACAUAUUGAGACAGACAUCAAGUGCAGAACACAUGCUUCCAUCUCCAAAGCCCUUAUGAACUAAAUCUGUCUUAUCCCACCACUUGUUUCAUCUGAUGCCAAGAUCCACUACAUGCAAAGGGACUUGCAACACAACUCGUCUACCUAAUCCCUUCAAGACUAAAGAACAGACAACUUUCACUGCUUUGCUCGAUCUGUCACACGUCACCGAGCACAGCAGCUACUUUAGGAAAAUACCUACUAUCAACAGGCACAUGUUUCCAUGUGGAAUCAUCCUUAAGGGCCAAUUCACUUGCCGUCCUCUCCAUCACCGUUGCCAUGCCCACCAGCUGAGCUCCCCUGGCCAUCACCACCGGCCCCAGCAUCCGAGGCGUCUUGCUUGCUUCCUCCACGCCCAUCAUUUGGGCCUCCCACUGAGUUUGGGCCGCCACUACCACCACCAAAUGAGCCCUCAGUAUGAUGCAUGGAAGGCAUGCCGUUGGCCCCCCCGGGUCUCAUUCCCAUUUGCCCUUGCAUGGCUUGUUGGUGCUGCUGAUGUAGCUGCUGCUGCUGCUGCGGGUCAUGCAUUUGAUGCAUGUUAUUGAACUGCAUCGGCAUUUUUGGGGGGAAAAUACCCUGUUGCUGAGCCAUUGCUGCUGCCUGAGGAUGUUGCAUGUAAUAUCCCGCCUGUUGCAUGGCAGGAUGUGGGGCCAUCUGCAAGUGUUAAAACAUAGAUGAUAAGUGUGGAUAGAAAAAACGAAUUAGCCAAACAUCCAGGCAUGCUUGCUACCCCCACCUGGGCAGGCACUGCUGGUGCCUGUGGCUGCGCAUCGGCAAUUGCUGCUAAAUACAUCAGAUUCUUUUGAAGCUGAGCUUGGUACCUAAAUCAUCACAAUUACAAUAAGUAUAUGUCACAUUGUGGCCAUGAAUUAAGAAUAGAAAGUCAUAUCCGAAGUCAUAACUGGGAGAUAGCAUUAAAUGAAUGGCCAACGGUAGCCCCACCAUAUCAAUAAAUGUGUAAGCCAAACCAUAGCCAUGCGUAUUUUUAUGCAAAAUAAUUUUGACUAAUCCCACAGUAAAAAUAAAUCAAAGACCUAACAAGUUCUCAACAUUAAGGAUCUUAUAAUCAAUGCUAUCAAUACAAACCAUGAGGGCUGAGGCUAGUUCAAAAUUAACAUCUCUAAUCAGUCAGACUCAUCUCUAACUUACAAGAUACAAGUGCAUUAUACAGCCCCAGCAUAUGAUUCAAAACAUAUUUCACAUGCAUACAACACAUGCGGAGAGAGAGAGAGAGGGCUUACUGAGCACACUCGGCAAGUUUUCCAAGAUUUUGAUUAUCCAAUAUUGCCAGAAUCAACUUUUUGUUGUCAUCAAGAUACUGCAUAAAGGAUUAUAAAAACACAUUAUUAAUAAAUAAUUUUAAUUCCCACGCACAUCAAGUGAAAUCCAAUAUAUUUGACAAUCAAGGUGGAUAUCCAAAAGAGAGCAACAUUGUUCAAGAUAAAGAAAGGGCCAAGCGUCAUCCUAAAACCUGCAUAUGACAACAACAUACGAUACCAACAUCUAGUGCUGGUAAUAAUCAUCUUAUGCCCUUAAUUCUUCAUCAAUUUAGGUUCAAAAAGCAUAAUUCAACCUUUCAAAAUAGUUUCGGGCUUAGAUGGAAAUUUCUACAGUAGUAACAAGAAAUACAUCCACCUUAUCUGUUACUUUCAUCUAACUACUUAUUAGCUCAGUUCAAGACUGAUUAGCACAUCCCAAAUAGACAUUUUAUCAAAUGAUUUGUCAUGCAUCUAACCUAUAAGCCAUCUCACAAGCACAAAGCUUUCAGCAAAUUUACCAAAAGACCACCGCUACUCAUGCCACUACCAUAUCAACUAGAAUUUAUCAAAAUUCAAAACAGUAAAUCAUUUUGCCUAUGCUAUCAAGAAUCCUGAUCUUGUGAGAUAAGACAUCUUUGGUGACAAGAGAAAUAUAUCAUGUGUGCCCUUCAGCUACACUUUUCAGAGGAGACUCGGAGCGGAGGUGGACCAGUGGAGUACUAUCUGCACAGCAGUAGAGUAUCUAGAUAGCUUCUCAACAGGAAAACCAGUGGCCUGAAUCACGAUUCACCACUAGAACUAGGCUGACGGAGGAAAAAUUCUUAACAGACAUUAAAAAGGCACUUCACACAGGUUAGGAGAAUAAACUACAAGAACUCCUAAGCAUCCCUAAUGUUUCAACAAGAUGUUCGAAAAACACCAACUGAAGACUGUUUCCUGUGGGUUUUUCUUUUAAAUCAAGAAGAAUGUUCCCCUAUUACUGUGAACUAGGAUUCCUUAUUUGGAGAAAUAUGUUUAUAAUCUUUAGUUAUUACCCUAACUUUAUUAAAUUCUUUCAUACUUUAAUGGGCGAUGAUUGAUUAACUACCCAGUCGAUGUGGGGGGGGGGAUACGUAGCUUUGUUAAAGGUUUCUUCCUGAACAUCAUUCAUAUGUCACCAGUUCAUACGCUUUGUACAAUAUGAAUCUGUAUUCUUAUUGGCUUAAUUGCUAUAAAUGAUCAUCACCAAUCACAGGACUGGUUUGGUAUUGCUGUGCUUUGAAAAAAAACUGCUGUGAAAAUAAGCAGCUGUGAAAUAAAUCAGCAGAGUGUUUGGUAAACUUUUUUGUAAAAGUGUUUUUGGAAAGAAAAAAAUCAGUCUGAUAAUGAGUCUUUUCAUUAAAGGAGCACAGUAGCUCCGUGUGCUUUGAAAAAAAAUCAGUUUUCCAAAGUUGCAAAUAGCAGCUUUUUCCUAUGAUUUCAGCUUAUUCUCACAGCAGCUUCCAAAAUAAGCCAUUUUUUUUUCAGUUUACCAAACAACUAAAACCCUCGCAGUUUUUUUUCAUAGAUGUUUUUUUUUUAAGCAUCUUACUCCCAAAUCACCUCAUACAUCACUCCAUAGAAAGAAGGGAAUUUUAAUAAAAAUCUUCCGGUACUGUUUACUUUAACGAAAAACUACAUUUUUAUUAUAAAAAAUAAUACUAUUCAUUUAACCUUUAUUUUGUUAAAACUCAAAAUUUUCAAAUCAUUUUCAUUAGUUUACUUAUAAACUAUACAACGAUGGCAAGACUUAUGGAAUUCCUCCCUAAAUAUUGUCAGCAAAAGUGCAAUCUUUUCUAUAUGGACAAAAUUUAACAAAUUUUAUUCAAGUACACAAUUUAAGCCUUGUUUUUUAACAUUUAGCAUAUGCAUCAAACUAUUGGGGGGUGGGGGGAGGGAAUGAAUUAACAUAACAAAAAAUUAAGAAACAAACCAGAAAACCCAGAAGGCCAAUUAGUUUCUAAAAACAAUUAAGAGAUAAAAAUUGAGCGAAAUGGGAAAAAGAGUACCUUCUGAAUUUGCUCGGUGGUGAUGUUGGUGGGCGGAAAUGAAGGCAUGACGGGGAUCAUUUGCGGUGGCUGCUGCAUCUUUUUUUCCCUCCCAAAUUUCUCAGUGGUUUGGGGAAUUCAAAAACCCUAACCCUAACCCUAAAUCAGCCCCCAAAAGAGAAACAAAAUCAAUUAAAAGCAGAAAUUAAGAGGAAAAGGAAAAAAAUUAAUGAAGUUGAGAAACAGAGAGAGACAAGGAAAGGGCGGUCGUGCACCUUUUUAGGUAGGUGGAGAGUGUAGAAGAAAGGAUGAGGUGGGAACAAAAAUUUUGAAAGCGGGUUUUGGGGAAUAUCCUUUCAGUUUUGGAUGUCGACGACGUUUCUGGACUUCUAAGAAUAAAAGGCACCCAAAUUAAUAAAUAAAUAAUUAUUUAUAAUUUUACAGUUUUCCAGAUACAUGAUGUAUGUUGUGAGUUCGAUUCUCACCAACUCUCCUUCCAUCUAGCAGUUAAAUAUCAAUGUUAUUGCUCUAUUAAAAAAAAGAGUAAAUUGUAACAAUGAUCAUUUAACUUUAAUUAAAUUUGAGUAAUGAUCCAUCAACUAAAAAUUCAUUAUCAUUAGUUCCUCAAUUCAUCAAAAUGUAUAGUUAUGGCAUUUUUCGUCAAUUUUGUUAGAAUUUUGUUAAAAUAAGUUAUGUUGGAAUGAUUAUUACUACAAUUGGGUCUCUCAACUCAUAAAAACAUGUAGCUAUGGUCCUUUUCAUCAACUUCGUCAGAAUUUUGUCAAAAUGAGUUAUGUUUGAAGAAUCAUUGCUACAAUUGGAUUAAAGUUGAAGGACCAUUGCUACAAUUUGAUUAAAGUUGAGAGACCAUUGCUCCAAUUGGAUUAAAAUUAAGGGACAAUUUCUCCAAUUGGAUUAAAAUUAAGGGAUCAUUUCUCCAAUUGGAUUAAAGUUGAGGAACCAUAGUUGCACGUUUUGAUGAGUUAAGAGACCAAUGGUAAUAGAGUUUUAGUUGAGGGAUUAUUGCUCCAAUUGAGUUAAAGUUAAGGGAUCAUUACUACAAUUUACUAAAAAAAAUUCCAUUUUCUACUUAGUAUAUAUUAUAAGAUUUUUCUAUUAGCACCUCAUAUAUUGUUAAGUACACUUAUUAUUAAAUGACUUUAGUACUUUUAUAUGAAAUGACCAUUUAAACCCCUUAAGAUUAAAAAAAAAAAACUCCAAACACUAACAAAACUUAUAUUAUCACAAGGCAAUCCAACAUCAAUCUUAGAUAGUAACAAUUGUUAAAAAGCAACCAAAUUAGUUGAGUGAAUAAAUCUGAAGUCUAGACUUUUAGGUUUGGUUUUUCUUGUCAACAUUAUAAGUGUACCACAUGCUCAAUCUAGGUUUAAGCUUUUCUCUGUUUAUGGGCUGUGUCUGCUGGAAAUAUAUGUUCAAGGAUGUAACACAUCUCAUUCCAAAAGAUUUGUUCAUGCGUGUGCAUUUCACGUCUAUAUUCUUGUUUCAUUCUGACUAGCUUAGUUGUCUAGUCAACCGUACGAGAGGAUUUCUAGCAAGAUGGGCACGUAAUUUAAGACCUGCCCACAAAGGCUAACUGACAACUUUCUAGUGAAUGUCUAUUUGUCAUUUUUAAUCUUUUAAAAUUGUUUUGAAGCUUGACACGUGUCAUGUGGGUUGAAAAAUGAACCAAAGCUUUUGGGUUUAAGAUUCUUAGUUGAUUCCUUUGUUCAUUUUGGGAUUUUCAUAUUAUAUUCCUAGUGAGAGAAAGAGAGAAAAGGGCAUUAAGGUAUCGCCUUGCUCUUUGUUCUUCAUUUAUGAAACCCUAGUUGCAAAACCUUCUUCAUGCAUUAAACACAUUGAAUUGGAAAAUGUAAAGAUUUAUACAAGUUAUCCCCUUCGUCACCAUUUUGUGGAAAACAUUAAAUAAAAAAUAUUUAUUCAUAUUCUCCCAUAUUUUUUCUUAUGGCAUGACAUUUCGAUUUUACGAUUUUUCGAAAAAAAAAACGUCAAUCCGUAUUUGAAUUUGGAUUAGAAUUUUAUUUUGAUACAGGAGAUCUCAAAGCUACAACUAACCUCACGAAGAUCAGGAAAAAGAUUCUAAUUCCAAGUUCUCGUCACUAUUCCAAUGCUUUAUGAAAAAGAGAUGUUAGGUAGUUUACUUGCUCGACCAUAGAGAGUUUACUUUCUUAUGAGGGUUGCAUUGUCUUUGGUUUUGCAUUAAAUUUGGAGUCAAGUGUUUCUAGUUUCAAAUCUUUAAAACUGACCCAAUUAGGAUUCUCGUUAGUUUCUUCCUUAAAUAGUUUGAUUGGAGAAAUUGACUGGACAUUUGAAUCAAGAUUUGCAUAUCAUCGCUAUAUCAUCAUAUGCAUAGCUUGUGUGUUGGUCUUGGUGCCACAAGGUGAAGAGUUCAGGAGGAGUUGUCAUCUUGUGAAGAGUGGAGACAACACAUUUUCGGUGCCACAAGGUGAAGAACUCAGGAAAAACUGCCACUUCGUGAAAACCAAAGGAAUUCAUCUUGUGUAAGGCAAGGUUGCAUAAAGAUAAAGCUGUUUCGUAGACUAGGUCUAGGAAUUGAGCUUUGUGUGGUACUUUGUAAGAAUCUUGAUUAUACUAGUGGAUUGGACUCAGUAGAGAGUCCCUUUUUUUUAACCCAGAGGUGGAUUUUUCAGGCCAAAAAUAUCUUGUGUUCAAAGUUAUUUAUAUUGUGUCGCAUAUCUCGCAUACAUAUACAUGCUACGUGUAUCACUUGAAUAUUUAAUUUAUAUGUGCUCACAAUCAUGCUCACUUGACACAAUAAUAACUUGGAAUGAACUGAAGCAGUACUGACUAGGAUAGCUUUUGACAUUUUAAAUUGGUUAUUGAAUCUUUGAUAUAUUGACUAACAAAUCUAUUUUAGUUGACUAGCAGGCUUGGCUAGUCAGUCUAGCAUAUUAUAAUUUUUAUAUAAAGGAUAUUCCGUCUGGUACCAAUUUUAAUAAAUUUCAGUAGCUCGGCACGUCUUGGGUUCGAUUAUUGGCAAUGAUGAAUCACACGAUGGUGUAUUAUAUAUUUGGUUGUGUUUGAUAAUUAGGAUUUGAGUGUAUAAUCUAAGUUUGAAAACCAACAUUUUAGACUUUUAGUUAUGAGAAAAUUCUAAAUCUUCAAUUUCUAUUUUUGGGGUUGAGAUUUUAUUUUAAGAAAUUUAUUUGGGUUAUGAUGCAUAAGUGCACAUACACCUUUGAGGUUUUUUGGUAAUUCUUACUUAUUGUUAAAUUCCAACUUUCAUACCUAAAGUUUUUUUCGUCCCACUUUUAUGCCUAAAUUUAAAUUUUGUGACUCUAGCAAUGAACAAAGUUUCAACUCUUCUAACAAAAAAAACCAUUUCUUUUGUGAGAACUCCCCUUAUCUGUGAGCUUCUUCGUGCUAUUCCUUUUCCCGAUGGGCCCUCAACUCUUCUUCUCAUCUCCCCCAGAUUUGCCCUCCCAAUCCAACCUUUUCUCAAGAUUCUCCCUCGUUAGCCAUUUUUCCCUAUUCUUUCUAGUUCCUGCUUUCUAUACAGUGUUCUUGGCAUCUUUAACAAUCUCCUCCCUAUAUCCCAGUCGAAUCAUACAUCUCUUCCAUUUUUUCAACCACACAUUUUUAUUAAAAUAUUUCCUUUUUGCUUGUAGAGUUUUUUCUCAUUUCUCCCUUGCAAUAAAUUAUCUCUCCUUAGUGAAAGCAAACUAGCCCUCAUGCUAAUCGAAGGAAAAUCCUUCUUUCAAUCCUUGUUGUUGAUGCAGAUGAUUGCGGCCUAGUAAUCCAUCUAAGUUAAUUUGGUAAUUCGCCCUAAAUUUAUGUAAUAUUCCACAAUUUUGUUAAUUUGUAGCUGCAAAUAUAUAGGGUUUUCUAUGUUCUUGAUUUUCUGGGUAUCUUGGCCUUUGAUCUGUCGGGAGAUAAUGUCGGAUUUUUAUAUGAUGGGUAUGUGUUCUGUCAACAUUUUUAGAAGUGUGGUGCUUGGUGUUGGAUGAUGUUGGCUCUCUAUUUUCUCAAUCCGUAUUAAUUUUAAGCAAGAAUAUAAUUGUGUGGAAUUCUAGAGGAUCUGGCUACACCAAAUUUCAUAAUAAUGUUACUAAUUUAAAGCAGAACCACAAAAUGGAGAUUCUUGCGAUUUAUGAGCCUAGAAUUAGUUGUACGAGAGCCAUUUCUAUGGUCAAAUCGCUAGGUUUUCCUUCAUUUGAAAUAAUGGAUGCUAAUGGGUUUUCUGGAGGGCUAUGACUUCUUUGGGAUAACAGCAAGGUUCAUAUUGAUGUCAUUGGCACCACUGAUCAAUCCAUCUCGGCUUGUGUGAGGGGAGCUGGUUAUAACCCCUGGUUGUUUACGUUCAUUUAUGCUAACCCUUGUAUUGCGAAUAGAAGAAAAUUAUGGGAUUACCUUAAUAGUGUAGCUAACUGCCACCAAAUGCCAUGGAUGCUAGCAGGGGAUUUCAAUGAAAUGGUAGAGGUAGGUGAUAAACUUGGUGGUGCUCCUCUUUAUAAGACCAAGGACUUUAAAUCUCGGGUGGAUAUAAAUAGUCUACUGGACUUGGGAUAUGUUGGUCCUAAAUUAACUUGUAUUAACAAGAAGACUCUAGAAAGAAUUGAUAGAGGCUUAUGUAAUAUGGCUUGGAGAAACUUAUUCCCAAAAGCAUGUGUUUUCCAUUUACCAAAUACUAAAUCUGAUCAUUGUCCUCUCAAAAUCAAUCUUCAAUCCACGCAUGUCCCCAAUCCUCUUCAAAGACUUUUUAGAUUUGAGGCUAUGUGGCUUAGGCAUGACGCAUUUAAUGAGCUUAUUGCAGAAAAUUGGGGUAAUUCUAAUGGUUCUGCCAUGAACAAAACUUGUGCUCUAGUUGAGUCUCUGAAAAGAUGGAAUAUUCAUGUCUUUAGAUACUUAAAACAGAAGAAGAGGAAGCUCUUUGGACGCAUUGUUGGUAUCCAUAAAGCAUUGUGUAGAGCCCCAAACAGUUUUCUUCUCAACUUGGAGCGGGAAUUCAUUUUAGAGUUCAACAAAUUUUAAAUCAGAAAGUUGUCUUCUGGCAUUAAAAGUCUAGAUUGAAAUAGUUACAAAACGGCGAUCGUAAUACCAAAUUUUUUCAUCUUACCACGAUUGUGAGGAGAAGGAGAAAUAGAAUUGAAGGACUAAAGAAUGACAAAGUUGAACGGAUUCUAGACCCUGAUGACUUGAAGAGUCUUGAUGUGGAGUACUUUCAAACAGUCUUCUCAUGGGCAAUGGUCUAGACAUGUUACUUCUCUACUUAAACUCUUUCCUUUUAUUCAUUUGGAUGAUAUUAGAUCACUUAAUAUAGAGAUUGACCCUGUUGAAGUUAAGGAUAACAUUUUCAGUAUUGGAGGUACUAAAGCACCGGGUAUAGAUCAGUUUCAUGUUUGCUUUUAUUAAGCUCAAUAAGGCAAAUGUGCAAGUGAUAUUGUUGAUAUAGUUAAAAUAGCAUUUCAAACUCAUAGAUUGCCUCAUGAUUUUAAAAGUAUGUUAAUUGCUCUUGUGCCUAAAAUUGAGAACCCUCAAAAGAUGCUGAAUUUUAAACCAAUUAGUCUAUGUUGCACUCUAUAUAAGGUCAUAACUAAGAUUAUUGUAGCUAGGCCUAGACGUCUUCUCCCUAAAUUGAUAAGUCCAAAUCAAGCUAGUUUUGUGCCUAGCAGACAUAUAAUGGAUAAUAUUCUCAUUGCACAAGAGAUUCUUUAUAAGUUUAGAAAGUCCAAGGGUAAGAAAUGUUUUUUGGCUUGGAAAAUUGAUUUGUCCAAGGCUUAUGAUCACUUAAACUGGAGCUUUAUCAGUGGGGUGCUCUAGAAGAUUGGCAUGCCUGAAAGUUUGAUUCAUCUUAUUAUGGACUGCAUAUCCUCUUUUAAAUACCAGGUCUGUGUUAAUGGUGAAUUAACUGAGAGCUUUACGCCUAGUAAUGGUAUCAGGCAAAGGGAUCCCUUGUCCCCUUAUAUGUUUGUACUUUGUGUUUUGUUAUUUUAGGUUCAAUUUGUUAAGUUAUGUCAUGUAAGGAUUAAAAAGUUGUCAUCAUUCCGACCCUUUUAUUAACUGUUGUGAUCAUUGUGUUGGAUAUGUAUAUUGUUUAUGUUAUUUUCAAGGUUUUGGGAAAUGUUUUAUUUAUAAGGGAGGUUAUGUUGAAAUUUUAGUAGGAUUUGUUAUUAGUUUUGGGUUAAUGAUUUUUUUUUUCAUUUCUUUGCAGCGAAGAAAAACACCCAGGGACCUUGUUGGCAAUUGAAGACGGCAAAGGUCACCUGGGUGACCAACGGUCGUAUCCCAAUCGGAUAUGAUGAGCAACAUCGGGCAGCACCAACGGCGAAGCAGCAUAAUGCAUUGGGCCACGACAUUGGGCAUGUCGUGCGGACUUUUUGCUCUAUGCGAUGGAAGUCUUUGAAGGCGAUGCUGGAGGAGACGAAGAACACGAUCCGCAAUCAAUUGUCCGUAAGUAGCGUCGUCUUUUUGAUGUUUUUCAUGUAAAAUUUAUAUAUUUAUAUUUAUUACGGUCUUUUAUUACUAAUACUUUCAUAAUAUUUGUUACAUUGCAGACAAACUACAAUUUGGAGGACAUGUUGGCGUACCUCAAUCGGCUCUUCUCCGAACGCUACAAGCAGUGGAAGAGUGACCUGCACCAAUAUUUCCAGCAGUUUGAUGAUCCGCAUGUCACUUUCGAGGAGGGUUGCCCGAAGGAGUUCGAGGAUCAAAAAGAUAGUUGGGUUUGGCUCUGUGGUCAUUUUCAGGAGGCGGGCUAUGUGGUGUGUUUUUAAUUACAACUUCUUUCAUUUUACUUUCUUUUAUUUUUUACUAAUUUUUAUUAUUAUUUUUUAUUUUCUUUAAGUAUUACAACUUAUACGUUUAUUUUUUUGUAUAACAAAUGAAGGCGAAGGCCAACAUGAUCAAUCAGGAAAAGAAGACUUUUCUCCACCAUUCGAGUUCGAGGCAUUUCUCCUAUAGGAUGGAGGUGCAGCAGAAGGCAUAUAUUACAGCUUUCAUUUCCAAUUUUAAAAUGUCACUAAUAUUUUUUUUUUUCGUACUAACAUUUUCCUUAUCUUUCGAUUUCAGAAAGGUUCAAAAUUUCCGGAGAUUAACGUCUUUGCUGACGUUUAUGUUCGGCUUGGGGAUGAGUUGACCGAGUCCCUUCAUGUAAGUAAUUUCUUAUGCAUUAAAGAUUUAUACUAAUUAUUUCAAAUUGUUUUCUAUUAAUAAUCUAUGUUUUUUUUCAUAGGCGACUAUGGUGGAGAAAAGUCAGUCAGUGUUUCAGGAGUUCGCCUCCUAGCUUCCCUCGGACACGCCGAUCGAGUUUGUGGUUCCCCUGAGGAUGCAAGGUUUCACAUCCUAACAAAGACGUUAGACCAAACUUUCGGUCGGAGGCCAAGGACAUAUUGUCGGGGGAUGGGAAAUGCCAGGUGGCGGGAAAGUGGAGCCUCGUCAUCUUUGCAGUCAAAAGACCAGGUUACGGCUUUGACGCAUGAAGUUGCUGGGCUAAUGAGUGAGCUGGCAUCGCACUAGUCUCAAAUGUCAAUGCUUGUACAAGCCUUCAGUUCCUCCGGAAUACGUCUUCCUGGUUUUUCUGUACCACCGCCCUCAGAGCCCUUCCACAUCGAGCAUGCACAGCAAUCAAGCCCAUCGACCUCCGACCCCGUCCCCAACCCCACCCCCUACCAGCAACAAGAUUAUCAAGCACCUCUGAACGAUUUGCCUAUUGAUUAUUCCACUUUGUUUUCAUAGUUUUGUUCCCGCUUUCUUUUAAAACUUUGUAUUUGUACGUACAUUUUUUAUUUAUAUUAUAAAUAAAAAAAUAUUUUUUAUUUAUUAAUUUGCUUUUUUUUUUGUCAUUUGUAUGAAUUUUUUUUAUAAUUUCCCUUUUAUUCUAUUAAUUUAUUUAUUUUCUAAAAUUUCACUUGGACGAUGCCGACUGAUUGUUGCACAAAAUUAUGCGCAUCUUAUACACUUCGUUGUGCAAAUUAUUUCCAAACAAAUUUUUUACGUUCCCAGAAAUUUCUCGUCACAAAGUACACUUGUACCCUUAUAUAUUGUAUGACGAAGGCCCUUAUACGUAUAACUUUCGCACGACGAAGACCAAAGCAUCGCGUAAGGCCUUUUUUCACGACCUUCUCGAUUUGUGCAUCGCCAUAGUUUUUGUGCGACCUAAAAAUGCUUUGAGCGACAAAUUCUCCCUUAUCGCGCAAACUGUUUAAUUUAUUAGUGUAAAUUUGGAUGAAGAAUUCAUGCUAAGGAUACAAGUUUCUGGGCAAAAAUCUAUGAGGCGAAAUACUUGCAAGGGAACUCUAUUUUGGAUACUAAAUUACAUAAGAAGUCUGACUGCUCUUACACUUGGAAAUGAAUUUGACUACUCUUACACUUGGAAAGGAAUUCUUUAUGGAACUGAUUUGUUGCGCAAAUGAAUGAAAUGGAGAAUUAGGAAAGGUGAUGGUGUCAAGUUUUGGAAAGACCAUUGGGUGUUGAAUGAUCCUUUAUUUAAUUAUAUUGAUGCUAAUAACUUUCCCGAUGAGGACUUUCCAAUCUCUUCUUUCAUUCGGGGUGGUUGGUGGGACAUUAGUAAGCUAAGAUCUGCUAUUCCAAAAAACUUGGUCCAAAAAAUAAUUAGUUGGCCUGCUGGGACUUUUGGUGAUUAAGAGGACAAACUUAUAUGGGGAUGCACUUCAAAUGGAACUUUCAUUGUAAAAAUGGCCUAUAAUGUGUUAUAUGAUUGUAAAAAAAGGCCUGUUUUUAUUGGCUUGGGAUUUGGACUCUCAAAAUCCCCUCCCCCCCAAACUUAAAUUCUUCCUUUGGCCCAUUGGUCAAGGUAAGUUACUUACUAAUGAGCAAAGAACCGAAAGAAACUUAAUUGUGAAUUCCUCUUGCAACCUUUGUUCUUGCCCAUUGGAGACCAUCACACAUAUUCUGAGGGAAUGUAGCAGAGCUGAAUGCAUUUGGGAUAUUUUUCGGAUUCCUUCUCAAUUGCGCAAUACUUUUAAUUUGGACUUGGAAGCCUGGUUGAUGGCUAACAUGACGUCCAAGGUAAUGUGAUCUAACAAGAUUGCAUGAAAUUGUUUGUUUGUCCUUGCUUGCUAGUAUAUCUGGAAAUGGAGGAACCACCAGAUUUUUAAUGUGGCUUUCUCCCACCCUAGUGAUCCUAAAAAGGUUAUUGUUGGAUAUGCAUAUGAAUGGAUGGAUUCCCUUCUAAAAAUUGAUAAACCUCCUUCUCGAAUGCAUGUUAUGUUGAAGUGGGAGCUUCAUGUUUUCGGUUGGCACAAGUUGAAUGUGCAAGAUGCUUUUCACCCCUUGCUGUCCUUUUGAAAAGUUGUAGGGAUUUGAGGAGAGAAUUGAGCUUUGUGAACUAAAGCAUAUUUUCAGGGAAGUGAACAAUGUUGCAGAUUAGCUAGCCAAAUGGAGCUACAAUUUGGACCUUGGGUUGUGUUCUUUUCAGUUUCCUCCCUAAUGGCUUAUGCAACAUCUAACAAAUGAUCUUGUAGGUGUCCUUAUGAGCCGCUCUAUUGUUAUUAAUGCUAUGUAUUAGUUCGUCUGGGAUUUCUUCACCCCCUCUAUUCACCAAAAAAAGAAAAAAAAAUAGAAUGAUAAAUCAUCACAUCAUAAUCAUCAAAUUCUCUUGCUCGCCAACUGCUGGUUUCUCUAUAAUCUCUCAAUAAAAUAUGACUAAAACAAAUAAUUGUUUUUUUGUUUAAGGUAAUGAUGUACAUACUAAAUUUGAAAAAUAAAUGAUGUGUCACCAAUAAAAAAUAAGCACGUUAAUCAAUACUAUGCAGUAACCUAAUCAUCUACUUCUAUUUUAUUUACACAAAAUUUAGACUACAAAUUUUGUCUUCAUAAGACCAUCUCCAACCCUUGGGCUAAAAGCCAAAUUUUUUAGCCCGGAAAAUUUGGCUUUUAGCCCAGAAACAGCUUUCUGCUCCAACCCUUAUGGCCUAAAAUUUUAGCCCGGGAUUAUUAAAUAAUGAACUUAGGCUAAUAUUUUUCUUAAAUCAAUUUAAAAAAAAAAAUAAAUAUGUAGACUAUUGUAAAUUAAUUUUGUGAACAUUUUAAUCUAAAAAAAUUUAAAUUCCGAUAAAUAUUGAAAAAUCAUUAAAUUUUUCACAAAGCAGGCCUUCAAACGACAAUUUAGCCCAAUUACGACCUGUAACAUGCUCUUUUGCCAUGUUGAAUAAUUUGGAAAUGGAAAGAAAUGGUAGAAAGAUAAAUUGGAAGAAUUGUAGGAGAAAAUUGAGUUUUGUGUGGAUGUUUGAACAAAUACAUAGGUAUUUAUAGAGUUUUUGGGUAAAUUUUGAGUUAAAUAAUUUUUUUAAAUAAUUUUAGCCGUUGGAUUUAAAUUUGGGCCGUUAGAUCCUUUUUUUACCGUUAGAUUUGAUUACAUUCGAUCUCAGCCGUUGGAUUCAAUAUAUUUUAAAAUAACAUAUUUUUUAAAAAUGAAAUUUGAAUUUGGACCGUUCGAUCAACCAACGGUCCUUAAAUGAUGGUCGUCGGAUGAGGAAAAGAGCCGUUAGGUUGGGGGUAGUGGCCGACAGGGCCCUGGCAGUGGGACCCUGCGUUGUCGGGAGCAAAUGCAAACCAGGCCCUUGGGGCGCGUCCGCGAGUGGGCGGGCCGAGAGUGGCCCAAAUUGUGGCGAGUCCACGCGGAUAGGGGGAAUUUAGCCCAGUUUUAGCAUUCCCCUUUUAGCCCAAUAUUUUAACUUGGGUUGGGUGGUGUUCGGGGGAAAUCUUGGGCUAAAAUUUGACUUUUAGCAUAGGUUUGAAGUUGGUGGGCGGGGAGACGAAGAGGUGGAAUGGGUUUGUGACAAAUCCUCCGACGCGCCCAAAGUACCAAACUCGGUUACAACUAGUGCAGCAGUAAAAUGUCAAAAGUAGAAGUCGACUUUUCACUCUGGAGAGUCCAUUACCGCUUCCAUCUCCAAAUCCCGGAACACUACAAUCCUUCUCCGGAACACCUUAAUCCUGGCUCCUGACAUCUGGAAACGCCUCUUCCCCCCGCGAACCAGGCGGCCAAUCACCCUCCCCCAAUUCCAAAUCGGGAUAUCUCGGCCGUUUCGAGUCCCAAUCAAUUCCGGAAUGGAGAUAAACAUGUUCAGGCUCUGCUCCGGCCUCAAAGUCAUCGGUUACUUCAUGAUCCUCCUCGUCGCCGCCAUCAUCUCCGUCUCCUACUACGCCAUCGUCGUCGUCACUUGGGGCCCCGAGCUGCUCCGCGGCGGGGUCCACUCGUUUCUAGCUUUCUUCAUCAUCGUAAUGUUCCAUAUUCUGGUAAUUCUCAACUAUUUCAGUUGUGGAUGCUUCAAGUUUUCUCUUUUUUUCCCUUUUCUGUUGUUUUUUAAUCUUAAUUAAAGGGCAAUCGGGAAAUUGGAAAUUGUAAACAACCCAGUUUUUAUUUUGGAAAAAGAUUUGAUUUUUAUUUUGUGUGUUGUGUGUUAAUUUCUGUUGAUGCUAUUGUUUGUAUGAUUAGAGUCUAAUUAAUAGAGUUAAAUUGACGUGGUUAGAUAGCAUCGAAGUAGAUUAAUUAGAUUGAUAACUGCUGCAAUGAGCACAAUUUAGAUUAGUUAGUACAAUUUACUAAUUUAGAUUGAUGGAUGAGCUUGAACGAAGUUGGUCUCGAAUGUCUGACAAGCUAAUAAGAGCUGGAUUUGAAAUUAGACCUGAAAUUCGGGGAGACAAAUCAAAUAUUGGGUUCAGUUUUGCUGGCUGGUUUACAACUGUUCUAAAAAACUUAGUAAGUAGAGAGGUACGUUUCAUACUUACGUCGAGGACCCGUGGGAGUUUUGCCUUUGACAAAGACUAAGGAGAGUGAAUGUUGAUUUCGUGUCAUAUAUGAUUUUUUCAAGCUUGUUAUAGCAAAAUUUAAAAUGAGAAUACAUUGAUAAAUAAUGUUAUUUGUUUAUGACUUCUGAGAAGGCCGAAUUGAGUAGAAAGAUUGAUUUGGUAGAAAACUAACUCUUGAGUUUGGCCCUCGGUUUGAAUUUGUAUUUUGUUGCAGCUUGUAAUGUUACUGUGGAGUUACUUUAUGGUAGUCUUUAAAGAUCCUGGUUCUGUUCCGGAAAAUUGGAAACCUCUAAUAGAGGAGGAAAACUUAGAGGCUGGUAGUUCUCUGACUUUGUCAGAAAAUAUCGAACCUGAGGCAUUCACUUCAACACAAUCUUCAGAUGGACGAGAAAGAAGACCACAAGUAGGGUAUUGUAGUCGAUGCCAAAAUGGCAAGCCACCACGAUGCCAUCAUUGCUCUGUCUGUAAGCAACUUUUUUUCUAAUGUUGACGAUACAUAUGUUGCUUGUAUCUGGGCAUGCAUUAUUGAUUUUUGUGCAUUUUCCCAUGGAGCAUUUAUUUUUCUUCUUUGCUUCCAAUAUGCAUGUAAGAGUACCUUUUAUCCUUGAUUUUUAUAUUUCUUGCAAGGAGAUGCCAUUUAUCCUUGAUAGAAUCUCCCUAGAAAAUAUUCCCAGUCCCAUGGGUGGUACCAAAUAUAUGAAUUCACUCUCACAUUUUUGCGUUGUCAGCUUUAUCAAUAAAGUUUCUAGAGGUUUUAUCAAUAAAGUUAUCAUUUACCGUUGGAUGUUUCUCUCUUUGCCACUGUUUAUGGAAGUUCCUGAGAACUUGGUCAGCAAGGAUAUGCAUUGAGAGAUGGUUUAAGACUGUUAAAUGUCAAUCUGACGUCUUUAACAUCCUAUCCAGUUAUUUAAAUUGUGGUAGCAUGUGUCCUUUUGGCGUGUUCUUUGUUUGCAACUCUAUGUCAUCAUUGAUAACCUGACAACUUUGGAACAUUGUCGCUAUCCUUAUUUAACAUUCAGUGAUCAGUGAAACUGUCUAUUAAGUGAUAAUCUUUUUGUUUUCUUUUAUGCUCUGUAGGCCAAAGAUGUGUACUUAAGAUGGAUCACCAUUGUGUUUGGGUGGUGAAUUGUGUUGGUGCACGCAACUACAAGUUUUUUCUUCUUUUCUUGGUAAUGACAUAUUCCUUUUUCUUAUUAAUGUACUUGCAGUCAUGACUCACGAAAUAAGAAAUUUGUGUAGAUUUCCUUCCCCACCAGAUUUUUUGUUCAAAGGCUGGCAAUCCCACAGAAUCUAGGGCUGGGAACUGGAGAUGUUUGAGUUAUCUUUGACAUGUGUGUGUGUUGGGGGAAGUUGGGGUCGUAGAGAGAGAUGGGAAAUGCAAUUGAUUAUAAAAUAAAUACCUUCUGGUGUGCAAAUAAACUUUAAAAGUAGUAGUAAUUGGCUAUUUUACUGUCCCUUUGUUUUUGCUCACUCGUUCCAGUUUCUGUUUGUGCCUUGAAAGCUUUAUACAUUUCUGGAGACAACAAUGGAUACCUUAGUUUUGCUGCCAAAUUUUAUCGAUUUCUUCUCUGAAGCCACGGAUCAUUCUGAAUCUCCUGGAAAUCUUGCAGUCAUUUUUUUGACAUUUGGUAAUAUUCCACCGAGUAAAUCAGUUUCAUGUCCACAUAUUGGUUCCACUUUCAUUGUUUACUUGCUCCUUAAAGAUUGUUUACCUUGUUGCAGUGCUUAAUUUAGCCUUUGCACUGAGUCUUCUUUGUUUUGUGGUUAUGCAUGCGUCCCUUCUGUCAAGCAACACUACUACGGUUGAGGUAAUACACUCACCUGCUACUUUCUUUCUACCAUUUUUGAGAUUUAUGAAUAUUUUCACAGUUUGCACUUACCAUUUGAGACCUGAAUUACCUGAUAAAAUUAUGUUCAUCUGGCUACUACCCUCUGCUUGAGGUUCUAUAUUAAUUUAUGAAUACAUACAUUGUACAAUAAGAAUUUGCUACAGUUGCCUAAAAUGAUCCAAAUAUCAGAGUAACCUGAAUCUACAAAGAAUUUAAUAAUGCCACAUGUUUAUGAUUUAUCAUGUCUUAUUACAUCGCAAUUGUAUGCAACUAUUUGAAACAAUGUUUCAGGUUCAUGAAAAGAGAGGAGCAAUCAGAUGGAAGUACGACUUGGGCAGGAAGAAGAAUUUUGAGCAGGUGGAAUUCUCUCUCUCUCUCUCACUGCUUAUGUAACCCCCUUUUCCAUCAGACAUUUGAUAAUUUUUAACUCUUAUCCUGUCCUGUAGGUUUUCGGCACGAAGAAGGCACUGUGGCUCUUACCACUGUUCUCAAAAGAGGAUUUAGACAACGUACCUGCCCUUCGGGGACUGGAGUUUCCGACACUUUCAGAUACUGAGGCUUGAUGCUUGGUGAAUUCCUAUACUUUUACCUCCCACCAGCCAUUUAGAUAUCUUUACGGACUCAUACAUGCUGAUUACAAUGGGUCUAAAAAGGUGUAUUACCCCGUGUCCAAUUUAGUCAACUUAGUCUAUAGUUAGGAGAGGAUUUAAAUUUGAGUCAUGGUUAUUUAUUUUUACUUUUAUACAUUGAAGAAAAAUUGGAUUCAGAAGGAUCACCCUAACAGGAAACUAGGAAAGUGAUUGCUUGGGGAAAAAACUCAGUUAGCUACCCAUCAAUUUUUUAUACAGAUUGUUCUUCUCCUCCAUGUCUUGUCCCUCGUCCAAACUACGUGUACCCCAAUUUCUUGGAUAUGGGAAAAAGGCUGUGCUUGAAGUAGUUGCGUCGAAGAUUUUAUACUGAGAUGUAUAAAUCUAUAUUGAUGUGUAGCUAAGUUUGCUCUACUUCCUCAAACUAUUCGUUGCUGGAAAUUGUAAUUGCCAGUAACUCAUUCACAUUGCACGGGAUGUUGAUGUAGACUUGGGGUGAUAAUUUGGAUGUCCAGUUGGCUGAAAAUUGGGUUUGAAGUUGUAAAUCACCAAAUAUUUGCUGAUCAUAAAUCAGGCGCAAGUGUGUUCCACUGGAUAAAGUUAGUUUUGAUUCACUUGCUCGCUUCUUUCUUGCAGUUUUUAGCUUAUUUUUUGUAAUGCCCCAAGGAACUCACUCUCAAUUUCAUUUUUCCCCUUAAAACUAAAAUUUUGCCACUUUACACCUUGAAACUCAAUAUUCGCUCCACUUUGGCGAGAUUCUAUCCAAUCUGUUAUAUUGGUGUUAACUUUGCUGAUGUGGUGAUGGACCGGACCCGUUAAUUUGCUGACGUGGCAGCCACAUCACUUUUUGUAUGCCAAUUGGCGGGACCUUCCCCACGCCUCCUCUUUCUUUCUCCGUCUCUCUUUCCCAACCCCAUUUCCCAAGCCAGCACCACCCCAACUCCCCGCUCUGAGCUCUCUUGCCACUGCGUGCCCCCAUUUGAUCAUUUACUCAUCGAACUUUACGUGCAUUUAGUGUUCUUAGAUUCCAGAUUUUCAGAAGAGGGUGGAAAUGUUGCAGUGAAUGUUUUUAGCAUAGUUUUUCUGUGAUUUUCUGUUUGGCUUCCCAUAAACUCUUCGUGAAAAAGAAAAGGAAGAAAAGAUAUGCAGCUCUUGAAAUUUUGAUUUUCGUUUGCUUUGCGAAAGUGAAAUUGGGAUAUGAUUACAUGUUUAUCGAUUACGAGAAUAGCAAAGUAAUUUCUUUUUUUUUUUGGGAAUUUUAACGAAAAACACCCGGUACUGUUCACUUUAACGAAAAAUCAUAUUUUUACACUAAAAAGUCAAUCCUGGUACUAUUCACUUUACCCUUUAUUUUGUCCUUAUCAUUAAAACUCAAAGUUUUCAAGCCCUUUUCAUUAGUUUUCCUUUUUUUUUUUCACUUUCCUCGGACUUCUCGACAGACAAAUAGCGAACUAGUAAAAAUUUAUAUGUUUAUGUAUGUAUGUGUGUAUGCAUGUGCGUAUAUGUGUCUUUAUGCGUGUGUUAGGGCAUAUACAGGUAGGGGUGGGUUCGGUACGGUUACCGUACCAAACCCCUUGUACCAAUUACCGUACCAAACUUUCGGUUUGGUAAAAUCUAUUACCAUUACCGUACCAAACUUUCGGUAUUGCCAAAAGUUCGGUUGGCAUUGUAUGGCAAUGGUAAUUGCCAUUUUGUUUUGGGACAAAAUCUGUUUUUGUUUUUUUAACCCAAUUCAAGGGAAAAACUUUUUUUUGUACCUUUAUCUCAUACAUUAUAGAUUAAAUUCAUCUAUUAUUCAUCAUUCACAAUUCACACACAUAAUAAUUCAAAAGAUGCAUCAAGAUUCAUCAUGAAAAUUAAGCUUACAAUCCAAAUAGAAGUUACGAAUCAAAACAAAUAGAAGUUAACAAUCCAAAUAGAAAUUAAAGUUUCAAACCAAAUGAAAGUUGGAAGUAAACUUCAAAAAGUAGAAUUCAUUGAUCAAUUAUUCAAGCUUAAGAUGUCGAAGCUUUUGGAGGAGACAUUGAACUUGUAGAAGAUUGAGUUUGUGUCAAGCCUACAUUACAAACAAAGAAAACAUAUUAAUUAGUAGCAAGAAGAAUUAAAGUUGAAAACCAUUUAAUAACAAAUUUACUAAAAAAUUAAAGCAUAUAUUUCUUGUUUUCUCUUCUUCCAUUUCCUUGUAAAAUUGAAGCAUAUCUUCCGUUGGUUCCUUGUAGAAGUUUACUUCAUUUGCCCUAAGCCAACCACUAGUACGCACUAGUGCCUCCAUUAUUUUAGGAUAAAAUGAUACCCUAAAGGGUCCACAACCCUCCUCCUUAGGCUAAAUGCAUUUUCACUAGCAAAACUAGAAGUGGCGGUUACAAAGAUAUUUUGGAUAUUUGUGAAAGAAUUAGGAACUCUUUUGUGUUUGAUUUCCACAAUUUCAAGAGAUCAAAGUCACCAACAACAAUGCUAAUAUAAUUAGGAUUUUAUUUUCAAAUUAUUGGAAUAUUAUAAAUAUGUGUUAUAUAAUUAUCUAUUAUAUAAGUUAUAAAUUAUAUAUUAUAUUGUAUUUUCGGUAUGGUAUGGUAAUACCGUGGUAAUGGUAUCCAUUACCAAUACCGUACCAUGAAAUUUCGGUACGGUACAAUACCGUACCAUUACCGAUUGGUACGAAACAUUUGGCACAAAAUCGGUAUGGCACGGUUGGCAAUUCGGUUGGCACGGUAAUUUGGCAAAAAAAUCCACCCCUAUAUACAGGCACGGAAGUCGCCGCCCGUUGCAGCUGUUCCUCGUGCUGUAUUAACCACAGAAAGUGCUAGGCAUGGGGAGGUGUCUUCUUGGGAGAGUGGAUGGUGGCGUGUGGUGGCAAGAGUGCUCAUGGUGGGGAGGCGGCUCGGUGACGGCGGCUUGGGAAAUGGGGCUAGGAAAGAGAGUGAGACAGAAAGAAAGGUUUGGAUUGGGGGAGGGUGCCACCAAUUGGCAUAAAAAAGUUGAUGUGACUGCCACAUCAGCAAAUUAGCGGAUCCAUCAUGGUCACAUUAGCAAGGUAAACGCCAUUUUUACUGAUUUGACAGAAUCUUGUUAAAGUGAAGUGAAUAGAGGUUCAAGGUGUAAAAUCGUAAAAUUUUGGCUCUAGAAAGAAAGUUAGGUGAAGUCGAGUUUCAAGAAGCAUUUCAUAAAAUAAGCCUUCAAUUAAAAUCCGAGUAGCCUGUGGCUUAGUAGUAAAAAGAUGACUAUCCAAGCAAACCACUUUAAUGUUAGUUUCAACUCCUACAAAGGGUACAACGUUUACGUGUACCUGAGAUGUAUGGUUUUUCCAUUGAUUACACGUAUUCAAAGUUUUACUUAAAUUUUUUUUGAGUAAUCACGCUUUCAGAGUUUCACUAAAAUAAUCUUUUACUCGAGGAAAGAGAAGAUUCCCUGAAAGACUUUUUUUUUAUCGAUGAGCAUCAAUAUUAUUUGGAACAAUGCAAAACUAGGGUAGGCAACAUUGUUAACCUGUUUAUGUUAUAUCAUAUAAACUUGAUUCCCCGACAGCUCUCUUCCCUUUAUAUUAUUUAACAAUGAAUGAAUCAAUGAUGUGAUUAUAACCACACAAACCUGACCCAUAUACCACCCAAUCCCCUGUCUGUGAUUUUAAAUGAGAAAUUUUAUUUGAACAUAUAUAAUUUCUUUUUACAUCAAAUUUUAAUUUUAAUUGUGAAUUAUUUUUUUUUACCCUAUUGCAUAAUUACUACCAAGUACAAGAUGAAAUUAACAAUAAAAUCAAAAUUUAUUAAUAACCCCACAUCUCAAAUAAUCAAACUCUACUAUCACGCAAUGCUUAUCCUACUUUCAUCACGCAAUUAAUCGACAUUUAUGUGAGCCAUUUAUUUGCAAGAAAUCAUCAUUAUGUGUUGUCUGCACUAUAAAUAGCAAUAACAUCUUUUAGAAAAAUCGAAAAUCACGAACCGUAAAAUUCUUCAUAAACUAGACAUCCAUAUGUUUCCAAGCAUAUAAGGCUCAAUAUCUAUUUCAUCUUGAGGAAGUACAGCUUAAUCUUCAAACUUGAUAAAAGAAUAAUUCUAAUAGAAGCCAAACGCCUUGGAUAAACAGCAAACAGAGGAGCCAUGACCUUGAAUGCCGUGGUGAGGAAGGGAGAUGUCAAGUAUCCUCUUUGUCCAGUGAUGAGACCCCAUCGUCGAUUUGUAGAAACAUAGAUUAUACGUUUUGAAUAAUAUUCCACGAGUUAUUAUUCUUCAAAUUGAUGCACCAAUAUCUACUUUUGCUAAUGCAAACUAUUUAAGGGAAAGGUAAUAAAAUACAAGCUAGAUAUCGAUAUAUGAAGAAAACGUAGUAAGCAGGAUAGAGAUUUAAUCUAUGCACAAAAUUUGGUUCAUAGGAUCUCAAAGUGGUACAUGAGGAGGAAGACAAGAUAAAAUCUUCUGGAGAAACAAGCUUACACUAUGUUAUAAUAGAUAUUGGCAAGUGAUCAAUCUGCAACGGUCACAAAUUAAACUUUUACGAUAUCUGCCUUUUAGCUUUACUACGAGUCUAAUGCUAAAAUUAAAAUCAAAUUACAGAUGUUGGAAGCAUCGAUACUAGGGGGAUCACUAUGCUUGAAGAGGUCCAGAAAAGUGUAGGUAGAAAGGGUCUUAAGGUAUGAUAUUAUGGUAGACUAGUUAUGUUUGAUAUAGUUCAUAUUUUUGUUUGAUCAUGAGCUUGUGUUUAUUCUUUCUACUGAUCUAUCAGCUUGUAAUAGCAAACCUCCGAAGUAAGGUGAUCAAUCAGCGAGAAAAUCGGUAAGGAAUGGGUGUAAAGAUAAAUAUAUAUAUUGAAUUGGAUUUAUGAGGGUAGUUUAGAUAGUAAAUUUGAGUUUAAAAAGAUAUUAAAUCUUUAAUUAAAAAUAAUAUAGGUGUAGAGAGCAAGUUGGGUGUGUAAAAAUGUUAUAUGAGUUCAAAUAAAAUUUUCCUUUUUAAAUUGAUUACAGAUACUAUUAAAUAGAGUUUAGAAUGAAAAACUUAGGCUUGCUUGAUAAUCAUUUCAAUAUGUAGUUUUAUUUUAUUUUUUUUAAAAUUAAAAACGAAGUGUUUCCUAACUUUAUACAGCAACUACCAAAACUAAAUCGUACUACUAAUGUAAUUCUAUAUCAAGAUAAACCACAAAAAUUAAUUAAUAGUCAACAGGUCUCUUAUAGAAAAACUCCACGCAUGUUAACAGAUAUAUAUAUAUAAUUUUAUUAUUUUUUUAAUAUCUAUACACGAUCCACAUGGUUACUCCAUUGCUCAUCUUUUUUGGCCGGAACCACCGAGUCAUUGAGGUGAACGGGUUGACUCACCCUCAGAACAUAAUGGUUGUUCGGAUUACAGAUAUCGGAGGCCACGACGGAGAACCAAACGAUGGCUGGGGUAGCAAAUAGGACGAGACCAAAGGGCACCAUCCACAGCUGCUUAUUUGCAGGAUGAUACUGAUACUCCCACCACCCUAACAUGAGUCCUCCAACCACACUCACCAGAACUGACCAAAAGCAAGCUGUUCUUGUCUCCACAAUUCUUCGUUGCUCCAAGUAACUUAUUGUUUCUUUGUCUUCCUUGUUCAAUCCCAUCAAAUAACGAUCAAAAAAGUAAAUUCCUGGCUCUGCUCCUGAAAUCAUAUUGGUUAAAAAACGAAAAGGAACGAAAAUUAACAAAGUAUCGAAUUCAUAAUUUGUAGGGUAAUGUUUCCUUGCCAUGUUAAGUAGCUAGACAGUGUGAUAAAAGAACAUUUUUCCUAUAUCAUGUAUUCUAAUCAGACAUACAGUCUAACAAGAGAACAUUUCUAUAUACGCAUGCACAAGUUCCAUAAAACAAAACAACAAAAGCAUAAAGAAACAUACCUCGGUGUUAUUGGUGAUGAAGAAGAAGAUUGAGAGAUGUGGAAAUUAAGUUAGGUGUUGGGGGUGAAGAUAUAGUGAGAGGUGUUAAAGGAGGGACAAAAACCCUAAGAGCAAGAACAGGAGAGUGUUGGGAGCUUGGAGGGCAAGAGUCCCAUGGAUCUGGUGGAUUAAUACUAAGGGAGUGAGGUUCUGAGGAGGGCUUUGGACUUUGCAAAGUCACACAAGAACAACCAAAGAGUCUGAUUUAGCUAAACAUCCGACGUGCCUUUCUAUCAAAGUUAUUAUUUGUUAAAGAAAAUAAAUAUAAAGGAGAAAAAUGAUUACGUAUCACGAUCACACAACGCAUUUGCCAAGUUAUCUGGGGUAGAUUUUAUAUGAAUCUAUUUGUAAUAUAUAUAUUGGUCACCGUUUUGACAAGUGGCUUGUUUUAAGUGAUAAAACUGUACUAGUGGUUGUUCAUAACGUAUUAAAAUUUUAUUUUUCAAUUUUAUUUUCAAGAUUUGUAAUGGUCAUAAAUCUGCUGGCUGGCAAGCCGGCAAGACUAGAAGGUGAAACUGAGGAUUCGUUCUCAUUUGUUAAACUAUAGAAAUUUGGGUUCAACUCAGUGAAGGUGAGAAAUGUAGAGGGGAAAAGAGGUGAUUCCAAUUCCUUUGCAUAUUUUAAAGAAAACUUUUCGAUUCUAAUUUUUGCAGAAAUAGAAUGAUUGAAGGUGAUAAAUUUUCUUUAUGUUUAUUUUUCUUCUCUUGAACAUGAAAAAUAAUGUUUCUUUACUUGCAAUAUACUUAAAUAAUUUAAAUUUAACGAAUUAUUUAUUCCAGUUUAAUCUUAAAGAUCUAACGAGCUUUAUGAGCUUCAAUCCUUUGUCAGGGCCCAAAGUAAAAAACAAAAUUGAAACAAAGGAUCUAUAUAUCUUAUGACCCCCCCCCCCCCCCCCCCCCCCUUAGAGCACUCCACCGUGGGUUGUUGCUCAGGGGACAUGCCAGCAAACAGGCCCAAGAGCCACUACUACAAUAUUAGCUUUAGGUGGCGGAUGAUGAUGGCGGAUAUUAGAAAAAUCAUGUCAGAUAAAAUAUAUCCAACACAUCAUUUAAUUAGUGGCGGAUAUUAGAAAAAUUUGUCGGUUAUAUCCGACAUAAAGUCCUGGUGGAUAUAAAAAACAUAUUGUUGGUUAUAACCGACAAUAUUUUUGAAUCUUUUUUUGUAAAAUAUUUUUGAAGAUUCUGACGGUUAUAACCAACAGAAAUUGAUUAUUUUAUUAUUUUACUUUCUGACGAUUAUUAUUUUAGUAUUCUGGCGGUUAUAACCGACAUAAAUGAAAAUUUUAUUAUUUUAAUAUGUUAUAUUGAUUAAAAAUAAAUAAAUAAACACAUAUUUUAAAUAUUUUUUUUCACUCAUGACCCUAAAGUCUAAUGAACCCAAUUCCCACAGAGCCAUAAAUUUUCUGAGAGAAUAAUAACAACGGACUACAAUAUGAAGCUCUAUCAUUUUUGUAAUAAGGAUUAUACUCCCUCACAGGCAAGCAACAAGAUACAAAGAAAUUCAAACAAUUUUUUUCAAUGCGUCACAAAGCACAUUGUCUGGCACAUAAACACACAUGAACAUGUGGUAUACUCUAUCAUGUCUGAUUUUAUUAUUUUAAAAUUUUAUAUUGAUUAAAAAUAAAUAAAUAAACACAUGUUUUAAUAUAUUUUUUUCGUUUAUAACCAGAGCUGUAAAAAAUCAUUAAAAUCUUUAAAAUUGUGAUUUUUUGUUAAAAUCGUUAAAAUUGUGAUUUUUUGUUAAAAUCGGGUCGAGGAGUGUAGCUGUAAAAAAAUCAUUAAAAUCAGAGUUAAAAUAAUAGUUAAAUUGUGAUUUUCGUUUAUAACUGUCAAAAACUUUUGUUCUGUUACGUAAUCUCUAAAUGUUUGUUUUUUACAAUUUUUUUACAUAUGCAAUCUCAGAGUGUGUACAAAUAAGUUUUACUGUUGGAUCGUUGAAAAAAGUUUCUUAGAAUGCAUAUCACGUCAAAACGGUAGAUUAAACAAACACUUGAGAGUUAAUAUUAUACUUCCAUCAAGUAUAAAGUAAGAUCUACUAGUGUAAAUAUUUUAAAUUGAAGAUCAAAUUUAUUCAUUGCAUUCUUAUAGGGUUGAGGAGUGUAGCUAUAAAAAAUCAUCAAAAUCGAAGCUAAAAUAACCGUUAAAUUGUGAUUUUUCGUUUAUAACCAUCGAAAACUUUUGUUUCGUUACCUAAUCUCUAAAUGUUUGUUUUUUGUGAUUUUUAUGUAUGCGAUCUUAAAGUGUGUACAAACAAGUUUGACGGUUGAAUCGUUGAAAAAAGUUUCGUAUAAUGCAUAUCGCGUCAAAACGGUAGAUUAAACAAAUACUUAGAGUUAAUAUUAUACUUCCAUUAAGUAUAAAAUAAGAGUUUGUGGUACCCACUAGUGUAAAUAUUUUAAAUUGAAGAUCGAAUUCGUUCAUUGCAUUCUUAUAAGGUCGAGGAUUGUAGCUGUAAAAAUCAUCAAAACCGAAGCUAAAAUAAUCGUUAAAUUGUGAUUUUUUGUUUAUAACUGUUGAAAACUUUUGUUUUGUUACCUAAUCUUUGAAUUUUUUUUUUUGCGAUUUUUUUACAUAUGCGAUCUUGUAGUAUCUACAAACAAGUUUGACGGUUAGAUCAUGGAAACUAGUUUCGUAGAAUGCAUAUCUCCGUUAAAUUUUCCUAAAUUUUGAAGUGGGAAAAGUAAUUUGUGCUAAAUUUUUAUUUAUGUUUUCAAGUAUUGAUUAGACAAUAUUUAGUUUGUGUGAUGACAUUUUCAUUGUACAAUUAUAUUUUUGUUUCUUUAUCGCAUAUUUUACAUGGGUUAUUAUCUAUUAAACCAAACAAUUAUUUAUUUAAUUUUUAAAAACGUAUUUAAUUUAAAUACAUAUUAUUUAUUUAUUUAUUAAACCAAACAAUUAUUAUUUUAUUUUUUUAAAUCGAAACAAAAUUUUGGGGGGAUUUUGGGAGGGAAUUUUGGGGGGAUUUUUGCUGCCAUUUUGUUUAUGUCGGUUAUAACUGACAGUAAUGAAAAUGUUUUUGUCGGUUUUUAUUUAAAAAAAUGUUUCUGUCGGUUUUAACCGACAGUAAUGAAAAGAUUCCAAAAUAAAACCCCUCCCCCUUCCCACUUCCUUAAUUUCCCAUUUCUGCCAUUGAGCUCUUAUCCCCUCUUCUCUCUAGCCUCGAGCCUAGAGCCAGUGGCGAAGCCACGUGAGGGCGAGGAGUGGCGACCGCCACUCUCCUCGCCGGAAAACACAGCCCCAGCGCAGGUUUAGCCCCUCCCCUCCUGCCGGAAAACCCAGCCCCUCCGCAGCUCCGCUCCCUCUGUUCCUUCGAACUGGUUCUAUUCUGCUGCAGCAAAGUGGAAUCUUUCUGUUUUUUUAUUUAAAUCCAGGCCAAAACGACGUCGUUUUGGUCCUGGUAAAAAAAAAAUUAGAAAACUUAGACGAAACGACGUCGUACCGUCUGUUUGAAAAAAUAUAAUUUAUGGUGGUGGGGGGGACCGCGUGUCCCUCAUUCAGCCUCUCUUUUCUCUCUCAGCCUUUCUCAAGGCCAGUUACACACAGAAAGCAGCAAAGCUGCCCCCCCAAUCCCAGUAGCCAACAGAACGGAAUGGAGCCAUCUCACAGGCUCACUCCAGCCGCCGUUUACUCUUACUCUCACAGUCUUACUCCAAGCUCCAGCCAGCCACUGAGCCGCUGGCUGCCACCAGGCCAGCCACUGAGCCGCUGGCUGCCACCAGGCCAGCCUUCAAACUUCAAUCCAAAGGUAAAUUUAUAAUCCCUACCUAACCCUAAAUAAUUAUUUAAUACGAAUUUUAUUUAAUUGGUAUAGAAAUAGAAUCAUAUUAAUAUGGUAAUGCACUAAGUUAGUUAUUGGUUGUUGAUUAUUGAUAUGAUAUUAUGAAAUUAAUUUUUAGGGUGAAAAUUUAAAUUUAAAUUCUUGAUUAUUGAUUAAUCAAUUGAAUUAUUAUAUAAUGUAUACAAUUAUUCAUAUGAUUAGUUGAAUUGAAUUUUUAUUUAUUGAAUAAUUUGUAUGCUAAUUGGUAUUGAUUAAUUGAAUUGUUGGUUGGAUUAAUUAUUAUGAUAUUAGUAUAGUUUACUCUAGGAUUAAGAGUCUAAGAUUUGUUUUUCUUUCCAUUUUACAAUUACGUAAUGGAACGAUACUAUAAGAAACAAUGCUUAAAUCCUCCUUCAAACAUUUCGGGUAGUCCUUCUGCUUCAAAUAUUCUGAGUAGUCCUCCUCCUCCUUCAAAUAUUCCAAGAAAUAUUUGCUUUUUUACAUUGAGUGAUAGCAUGCUUGUUUACGUUGAGAAAUAUGUAUUUGCUUUUAUUGAUAAUAAGCCUAUUAUGCGACGUUUUCAUGACAUGAAACCUUGCCGGCAACAAUUAUAAUUUGUUUGUAUUGAUUAAUUAUCGAAGACAUUACUAUAUAAAAAGAUUUAGUUGUUGCCAUUUUUCUUUACCCUUGCAUUCUCUUAAGUUCGCCCCUCCUUCCCAAAAAUCCUGGCUUCGCCACUGCCUAGAGCCAUGAGAGCUCUCUUCCUCUCUCUUCAUUUCUCUCUAUAAUCUUCAGCCUCAUAUGUCAUCCUUCCUCUCUAAUCUUCUCGGCCUGCAACCCAAAACCAAUACAACCCACACCACCAUUUCUUAGACAUCUCCGUUUCCAGUUUCCUUUUUUUAUUAGAAAAUAGACGAAACCCUCAUGCAUGUGUGCUUUCAGUGCAGGUUCAACAAUCAGCGGAGAGGGUCAAGAACACAAAUAAAGCAACUGCAAAAUUUGAAAUCCGCCUAAUACAAGCAGAAAAAUCGAGGUUCUAGAUCUACAAGAAAAGGUAUAAGGCAUACUUCCCCAAACUCAAGCUCGAUCUUGUGCACACCAUAUCUCCAGUUAUAUAUGUGGAAUAAUGGCAAUAUCUUGGUUUGUGCAUGCAUGCAUAAAUCAAAUAUGUUGUUCAAUAUGCUCAUGAAUAUGUUCUUGUUUGCUUGCAUGUACCCACUAAUACAUUCUCGAGCCAAGCAUGUGCAUAACUGAAUCAAUAUUCUGCCUUAAUGAGUCGUGUCCUCUGUGCUACUUAGAUCCCUAAAAAGUAGAAUGCGUGUAUUAGGAAUUUGAUGAAUGGAUCUAAGUGGCAUAGAAGCUUUUUAGUAGCCCCCUCUGUGAGUAUUUCUGAACUAUGUCUUCUUUUUUUUCCGCAUUGGCACUGCCAAAUCCCAUUAAUGUAGAGGAAUGGAUGAUGAAUGUGCUGGGGUGAAUAAAUGUUAAUUGCACGCCCGUAGUUGAGAUUAGGCUGAAUCAGCUCUGAAUUGAAUACAAAACUCUAUGUUGAUAUGGAAAAUGAAGCUUGAAAUUAUUACACAAACGGCGGAAAAAAAAAGUUCGAGUGUGAAGUUUCACUUACUGGUAGAUGGCUUUUGAAACAAGGAUGUCCAGACUGCAGAAGAAAUCCAUGGCUUUUGGAAGAUGGGCUAUUCCGAAUCUAUCGUCUCUCUCCCUCUCCAAUGUUCUUCGAGGCAUUCUUAUGAUGCAGAAAGUGGUUUAUAUUUUUUUUAUUAUUAAUAUAUGUUCUGUCGGUUUUAUUCAACAGAAAAUGCUUUUAUUUAUUCUUAUUAAUAAAUUCUCUGUCGGUUAUAACCAACACAAGUUCUGUCGGUUUUAGUAUUUUCUAUAGAUUUAACUGACAGAAAUGCUCUUAUUUAUUUAUUAUUAAUAUAUUCUCUGUCAGUUAUAUCUGCCACAAUUUCUGUUGGUUUUAGAGUAUUUUCUGUCGGAAAAUUCAUUUCCUGACACUGGCAAUUUUGUCGCUUAUUAUAUCCGCCACUGCAUCCAUUUUCUGUCGGAUUUUACUUAAAAUCCGACAGUAAUAUAUAUUUUUUGUCGGUUUUUGGACCGCCAGUUAUAGAUAAUUUUGUAGUAGUGAGCUCGGCCAAUUGACUCUAGCGUGUGGGAGCCCGAGGGAUAGUGCAUGCCUAAGCACCAAGCUUGUGAGGAAUUGCCAGCCCGCGAGCCCGAAAUGGAUCUGACAUCAUCCAGGCAUCAGCCCAUUUUUUUAUUUUUUUCUGUCAGGCGCAUGCAACUCACCCGCGCGUGGUGGCGCGUCACCCGACAUGUUUUCAGCGACUGGGACCCGCAUCGCAGUUUUGAAAAGUUACCAUCCGAUUUGCAACGGUUAGAUAAUGUGGACCGUCCGAUUUGCAACGGUAAAAAAAAUCUUAAUUAAUAUCAACCGUUGGAUUUGACAUCAACAAUUGAUAUUAUUCUCUUUUAUAAAUAAAACAAAAAGAAAAAAUAGUUUUAAAAUUAAGAAAAGUUACUGUUGUGCCACGUGGCACAAUCUGGAGUGUUGGAAUUCAAUUUUUUUAAAUCCAAUGGCAGGGAUUAAUUAGUUGAAUAAAAAUUUAAAAAAAAAUUGUAAAAAAUCCGAAAAAAAAUUUUGAAUUUUUUUAAAAAAAGUUGUUUUUACUUUUCUAUAAAUACUUUCUCAUUAUCAUCUACCUUACACCACAAUUUCAUAUUUUCUCAACUACUUUCAACCACAUUCCUACCUUUCUCUCAAAGUUUCAAUCCAAUUUUUUUCAACAAAAUGACUACUAAUGCAGAUACGAAUUGGUCGCUUCUUGAAGAUGUUGCGUUGUGUACUAGCUGGGUUGAAGUUACUCAUAAUUCUCUUACGGGUAAUGAGAUGCAGUUGCGAGAAAUGUGGAGUCUUAUUCAUACCAAUUUUCUUGAGAAAAUGGGUGGGAAAAGAACCAAAGAAUCGAUGUCCAGUCUUUGGAAAUUACUUAGCCAAUCGUUUAUUACGUGGAGAGACGUCUUGGCACAAGCUAGUGGUAAUAUUCGAAGUGGGAAAAAUGUAGCGGAUUAGGUAACAAUAUAUUAAUUUGUUAGCUACUUUGAUUAUAAUUAUUUGUUUGUAUUAUUUAUUUGUUACCUAAUUUGAUUAUAAUUAUUUUGUAUUAUUAAUUUGUUACCUACUUUCAUUAUAAUUAUUUGUUUGUAUUAUUUAUUUGUUACCUAAUUUUAUUAUAAUUAUUUGUUUGUAUUAUUAAUUUGUUACCUACUUUCAUUAUAAUUAUUUGAUUGUAUUAUUUAUUUGUUACCUAAUUUUAUUAUAAUUAUUUGUUUGUAUUAUUAAUUUGUUACCUACUUUCAUUAUAACUAUUUCUUCUCCUGCAUGGUGUAGGAACUUCAAGCACAAGCUUGGUAUAGUGCCAAAACCAAAACCAAAAACAAAUCAUUAACCCGGUGGGAAUGUUGAAAUAUUGUUAAAGAUUGUCCUAAAUUCAGAGUUGUGUCUGUCGGUUCAGAAGUUUUUAUGAAUAGCACCCCUCUACACUUUACACCCGAUCAUAGCUCGUAUGUUCAUGAAGAUGAUGUAGAAGAAGUGCCUGAAACGCCCCUACUUGAACAAGCGUCGGUUCGACCCAUUAUCCAAUUAGGCCUCAAGGUAAGAAGGCUUCAAAGAGAAAAGGGAGUGAUUCCAAGAAUGAUUAUGCAAAGUACAUGGAAGAACUUGCUCGCCAAGGUGAAUUGACUUUGGCGCGGGAAAUGGCGAAAUUUGAGGCUGAUAAGGCUAGAAAUGAGGUAAAAGCUGCAGCUGUUGAGAGAGCAUUUCAAGCUAAUGAGAGAGAAAGAGAGUUACUUAGGCAAGAAAGGGAACAUGUUAGAGAAGAAAAAAUGGCUCAACGAGAUCGUGACAUUAUGAACAUGCCUUUAGAAGGGAAGUCUUCAAAUUCUAAAUAUUUUUGGAAGUCGGAGAAAGAGGACGUGGUGCAAAGGAGGCAUGCAAGAGAAGCGAAAGCAAGAGGAGAUGGUCCUAGCACGACAAGAGAAUAUCAUCCUAGCACCACAAAUUGGUUAAGUGAUGAUGAAUAGAGUACUUUGGGUUGUAAUUUAUUAUUUAUUGAAUAGAGUACUUUAUGUUGUUUCCAAUUUAUUGAAUUUAGUACUUUAUUUAAAGUGAGUAAAUUUAUUUAAUUUGGUAAUUUAUUUAUACUAAAAGAAUCUUUAUUCAAAUGACAUAAACACACCAAAUAAAAUUACAUAAACAUACCAAAUAAUAUAAAAAAAAACUCACUAAAUGAACUAAAAAAACACACCAAAUGAAAUUUAAUAAACACACCAAAUAAAAACAAACACACUAAAUAAAAAUUAAAUAAACAUACCAAAUAAAAACAAACACACUAAAUGAACUUAAGUAUCUUGAGCUUGUUUCAAUUGCCACUAGUGCUCUAUCAAGUUAAUUUGCCGGGCAUUGUGCACAUAUGGCAUUUGAAGUGCAGUAUGGCUCAUGUUGCACGAGUUCUUCGGUGGCGUCAUGAGCACAAUAUAUUUGUGUUUUGGAAUUGUUCAUCGUGUCUAGCUCAUAUUUAUCAACGGCAUCAUAAUCAUACUCAUCUUCCACAAUCAUGAUGGAUCGAAGCGACUCUACAUCAAACAUUCUGGCAGCACCCUUGACAAUCGCCCAUCGAGCUUGGAGGAUACCAAAACAACGCUCCACAUCCUUCCUGCACCCCUCUUGACAGCUUGCAAAGUGUUUUUCCUUGCAGGACAUCGUUGACCAUGUUGGGUAAAUGCCGUCUACUAGGUAGUAUGGCCCGUCGUACUGACUUCUGUUGACCCAGUAUGUGACUUUUGGUGCCUUUCCUUGCAGGACAUCGUUGAACACUGGGGAUUGGGCAAGGACAUUGAGGUCAUUUUGAGCUCCUAGAAUCCCGAAAAAUGCAUGCCAAAUCCAUGUAUCAAAAGAUGCCACCGCCUCCAAAAUGAUACUUUUUUCUCAUUUUCUAUCCCUAUAAGUGUCUUGCCAUGCACUUGGACAGUUUUUCCAGGUCCAAUGCAUACAAUCGAUGCUUCCAAUCAUCAUAGGAAAACCUCGCAUCUCGCCCUUCUUCAGAAGCCAUUGCAAGUCCAUCUCAAUAGGUUUCUGGAGGUACUCUGCGGUGUAGAUAGAUUCGAUUGCUCCGUAAAACCUCAUCAAGGACUCAAGGAUGGUUGAUUUCCCCAUCCUCACUAUCUCGUCCACUUGGUCUGCAGAUGCUCCAUAUGCAAGCAUAUGCAAGGCAUUAGUAAUUUUUUGCUCAAGAAGGAAACUCAUAGCACCAAAAGCAUCAUUCUUUUGCACAAAGUAAGAAUCAUGGUUGCAAACAGCAAUCAUGAUUUUGUUGAACAAAUGUCGUUCCAUUCUAUAACGACAUCUAAAGUACAUAUCAGGGAAUGCACUGUUACGGAUAAAAUAAUCGUCCAAGAGUUUCGUACCUCGCCGUUGCCUGCUUCUAUCAAGGUUUGCGGAACGGCUGGGCUUGCAGAUCUGAGCCACAGCUUGGAUGACCUGACGGGAAUGUGAGGUUCUGGCCAUUCUUGUUUUGUUAUCUCUUCUUCUACGCUCCUCAUCAUCUUCCAUCUCAUUUUGGGCCACCUGGAGAUUGAACAUUCCUUUUGAUUGGUUAAACAAUUAUUCCUUUUGCUGAUCGAUUUCCCACAUCAUCCUUGAGGAAGAAGAAGACAUGAUUGUAAACAGGAAGCAAAAACUAUGAAUAAUGAUAUAGAUUUUGAUUUUGGUGAAGAAGGAAGUAGAAACUAUGAAUAAUGAUAGAGAUCUUAAGAAAAUUGGUGUGAGAUUUGUGAGGAUGGAUGAUGGAUUAUAUGGAGGAUUAAAAAAAGAUUAGGUUGUAGAUAAUGCCACGUGGCAUGCCGUCAUUCGUUAAAAAUCUGACUGAAUCUAUCCUCAAAGAUUGUAAACAGAUUGUGACACAUGACGUGACAUGAUUGGUUAAAAAUCUUAUCGGAAAUCCAUCACCAAUAAUUGUAUUUUCGGAUAAUGACACGUGGGGCAACAAGAACAAUUAAAAAUCUUAUCGGUAAUCCAUCACCAAUAAUUGUCUUUUCGGAUAAUGACACGUGACGCAACGAGAACGAUUAAAAAUCUUAUCGAAAAUCCAUCACCAAUAAUUGUCUUCUCGGAUAAUAACACGUGGCGCAACGAGAAAGAUUAAAAAUCUUAUCCGAAAUUACAAAUAAAAUUGUUUUGUAUUAUUUUAUAAAUAAAAAAAUAGUAAUAUUUUAUUGCCAAUUGUCAAGGUUAUUCAGUGUAGGGAUGAAGAUGCAAAAAGCUGUUAUUGUUCAUUAAAUACAGUUACUAUUCACUGGUGGAUUGAAUAAUGAAUAGUCUGGGGGGGAGGGCUCCCACGCUGGAGUUGCUCUUAGCUACUAGGGAACAGGCAAAUAGACUACACUUUUUCUCUUCUCAUCAAUUAUGAUUAGUUCACAUAUACGCAGUUAUCUUUACCCUCUCCAUCACGAUAUUAUUAGUAACAUUAUCAUCCAAAUUAUCAAACUUUAAAUUAUGACAUAUAAUUUUGAAACAAUUUAUCGAAUGUAAAUCAAACCCUCGGGUGUAAAGGUAACGUUCUUAACCACUUAGAUUUAUGGUAAGCUGAAGUAAUGAGAAUAGAUCACAAGUUUUGGGUACAAAAAAAAGUGUUCAUUUAAAUCAUACGAAAAUUUUAUUAUUAGAGUAUUAUUAUAUGUUUAUCUUUAAAAACAAGUAUAUGUAUGUAAAACUACUCGGCAACUUCGCAGUUUUAGAACGCCAACACGCACGCGCGCGCGCGCACGCACACGCAGACAUUAGAUUGUGCAGCUUUCAGCUUCGAAUGUAAAUGUAGAGUUCUUGGGAUGAUUUGUUCUUGGGUAGUCCCAGCUCUUGCUGUCAUCAACUACUUAUACAUCUUGGACUUUAUUCUUUUGCCCAUUUUUCUUUUCUAAAUAAUUGAAAGGUAUUUUGUUGCAACCCUAAAGCAGGAGUACAAACCCUGUCAUCCAUAUAUAUAUAUAUAUAUAUAUAACUUGGGUUGGUUUGUUCGACAUUCUGCAAAUGAUAACAGCAUAAAGUCACUUUUCUUAUUCUUCAGUUUGAUUUGUGUAGUUGUACACUUGUAGUUGUCUUGGAGGUUUCUCCCUCGAACCUUGGACUUAGCUUCUCUGUCCUCCCAGUUCUUAUAAACUCUCAUCCUUUCCUAUUUGUGAGGUCACGGUUAAGCCAUAUCAACAUUUUAUAUCACUAUUGCUUUUUGUUUUAUUAUCUCUAUAAAAAAAAUCAAUAUAAAAUGUUGACGUAGCUUAACCGUGAUCGCACAAAACAGGAAGAAAUGAGAGUAUGAAAACUGGGAGGGCAAAGAAGCCGGGUCCCUAAACCUUUACAACCCUAAAACAGCAGAAGAUAAAGUAGAAUACAAUAAAAGAUAUAAUAAACUUUGCUUUUUCUUAUACAUUUCACUUAUAUAAAAAUCCCUUUCUAGGGCAAGUCUAUUAUAACUCUUUUCGAUUAAAUUGUGCAAACUGAUAAGAACUAUUCUCCAAAUUUCCUAGGGUAGAUAAUACAAGUAUUAUUUAAUAUAUAACUAACAACCAGAAGUUCUCUUACAUCAUUUCUGCACAGUCCCUCUUCCUCAAACACUCCUCCAUUCUUUUUCUAACCUUUGAUUGAUAAAAUUAAAGGAAAACUAUGUGGAGGAAACAAGGCGAGAGUGUGCAAGGAGAAGACAAGAGUACUAUAUACACUUCAUAAAAAGUUCCUUUUUAGGGGUUUAAUGCAAUGACAUAUGUUCAACUAGUUUGGUAAGCAUGCGUAAUUGUGCAGCUCUUUUUGUGCGUUUGGAAAAUAAAAUCAAACCACCCUGUAACAAAACUAAGAAUUGCAACGAAGGGUGACUAGUCACUAGUUUUACACAAUUAUAUAUAUCUAUCGCUCUCUCAUCAUAUGACAGUUUCAAUUAGGGGUGUGCUAUCCACACACCCCAUUUUACUUCUCACACACUCCUUGAUAAUUUAUGUCCGUUGAUCUUCUUCAAUUCAUCCGAUCCGAUGGUCGAAAAUUAAAAAAAUGUGUGAGAAGUAAAAUGGGGUGUGUGGAUAUCACAUCCCUUUCAAUUAUUCUCCUUCUAGCUCGAAUAAGGCCCCUUUCUUGAAUGUGUCCAGGACCAUUUCUGAUCCAGCUAGAUUUGGGUUAUAAUUCAAGCCCAAUAAGAUUCUUGUCCGUGGAAGUGGAUUAAGAAGCCUAUAUGAUGUUGUGAACCAAACAAAACUGUAUAGCCUGUAUGCUAUAGGGCUCAUUUCUCAUUGAUCUGAAUAGUUGAAAUUCUUAAACCAUUGCAUAAAUGACUAAUGAAGAAAGUUCAUUGUGAUUAGUUUAUCUACUAGAGGGUUUUGCAUGGCAGAAGUGUUUUCUUCGACGUGGUCAUUUAUUGCUGAAUUUGAUAUACAAGGUGUGUAUUAAAUGGAUGUGUUUCUAAUGUUUCAAUCUCAAUUAUUGAUAUUAAAUGCAACGGUGAGUGACAAUAUAUCAUUAAUCAUCAGAUCACCAAGAAAACGUAACUCUUGCUUAUAUAUGGAGAUAGAGGAAGGAGUUUCUACAUAGUGUUACAAAGAUGGCAUGUUGGCCUAACUUGAUUAUUAACUUUUGUUUCUUGUACACAUGCCGUUUUUCGAUUUAACAAUUUUUGUACGUGAUGUUUACACCCUUACAUAGCAUGUUGUUAAUAAUCUACAUGUUACACAUAUUAUAACUUGAGUCAAUGUCACCACAUGGUUAUGUGAUGGUCACACUAAACAAAGUCUCGCGUGGCUUGGCAAGGGCAAUAUGUCCCAACCAACUUUGAAGCUUCCAUGCAAUUGCCAGCCCUUUGACUUGUAGUGAGACAUACCUCAAUUAUUGCAUGAGACCUCACGUUUGUGUUUAUCUAUAUCGUUUGUUUCUCCUACAUAAUUAGCAGUCUACUCACGAUUACACUAUUGCCCUUGUAUCCAAACAAAUGCUAAUGAAUUGGACUAACCAAUAAUAACGUUAGUAUAAAAUAGAAAUCAAACAAAUUAGGUUAGAUAUCAAUCCUAUUAUGAAAUAAUAACUACCAAAUUAUACAUUAUCUCAUUUGUUUUUUUUUUAUUAUUAUUAUUAGUUAUACUCUUAUUGUAAAUAUGAAGAAAUAAAGACUAAUUAAUCUCAUUAUAUUAGUUACAAAAAUGUUCUAAAAUCUUAUAUGAUAUAUCAAAGAUUCUUAUAUUCAACCGAGUUAUAUUUUGAUACGCAUUUCACAUGCGCACAUGAUGAGAAAUACUGUAAUUAUAUAUUUUUCCUUGGCCUGAAAACAAGAAAAUAUUGUAAUUAUAUAUACUAGAUACAGUAUGUGAUUAAAAUUUCUUAAAAAGAAUUAAAUUAAUGUUAAAUUAUGCAAAAAAAAAAUAGUGGAUUGGAGAAGUUAGAAAAAAGUGGAAAGAAAAGUAGACAUGGGAUGCAAAUAUGAGAGAGAGAGUGAGUGAGUUCAAGGUACUAAUAGAGUGACAAAUUUGUUAAGUAGCAUAAACGUGUAAGUGAAAUUAGCAAAUGAUAUUUUAAAAGAAAAAAUUUGUUAAUUCUUUAAAGAUGCUUUAGACCACACUUUAAAUCGAGUCGAUUUCUCACCUACGUGAGAGUGUUUGGAUUGAGCGUGAAUAACUCCGCCACCACUAAAACAAGCUCCAAACCAUAAUUCUAGCCUUUUGAGAAAAAUUGUAUUUUGGGAAAACAAUAAAAAAAGGAAAAAUAAGAGACAGUUAUCGACGAAAUUAUGAGAUAUAAUAGCAGGUGAUUUAGGAAGAGGCAGGACAGCCACGGAACUUGUGAUGAGAGAAUAUCAGAAGGAUCCCACACGCUGUCAACACGGUAAACACCACCACCUUAAUCCCUCCCUUCUAUUCUUCUUCAUCAUCUGCCACUCUCUCUCUCUCCCUCCCUCCCUCCCUCCUAUCGAACCCGACCAAGAAGCUGCAACAAACACUGAGUUAUAAUCUUUAGAUCCUUUGCGCGGGAACAAGUUGGAAAUUUCGGACCGUGGGAUCUGGAUAGUAAGGAAGGGGCGCAAGAUGAGCGUGAAGGGGCCGAGGAUGAGGACCCGCUUGGGGAAGUACGAGCUGGGGAAAACGCUGGGAGAGGGAACGUUUGCGAAGGUGAAGUUCGCCAAGAACAUGGAGACCGGGCAGUGCGUCGCCAUUAAAAUCGUCCACCGUGAGCAAGUCCUCAGAAACAAGAUGAUCGAACACGUACGUAAUAAAACAUAAAUUGUUCAGUUGGUUGAAACACAUUAAAAUGUGUGUAAAAACGUGUGUCCCCAUAUCCUAAUCCUUAUAUAAUGUGCUUUUUUCUUCAAAUCAAUCAAAAUGUACGUAGGAAUGUCGUUCAGAAUGAUUUGGUAUGAAUCACUUCUGCGCAUAAUCGUUUUUAUUGUUUUAGGUUUUGAAAAGGUUUUUAAGUUUUUCUGCCAAAUGCAAAAGGAGGCGCUGGUAAACAGUACAUGCCUUUAAUCAUUUUAGGAUGGCAGUGUGACCCAAAUGCCUUUUUUUGUUUUUGUUUUUUUUUUGUUCUAACACUCUAAUUCUUCAUGGUUGGUUUGAAGUUGGCGAUCAAUGAUAAACAUUAUAAUUCAUGUUUUUUAGUAGGUCAGGUGAUAAAAUACGAGGACUUUAGUUGGUUAUAAUGUAGAGCAGGAAUGAAAGUAUACCUAACUGUUUCUUGGUGCUUGUAUUGAAAGAUAAAAAGAGAGAUAUCAACAAUGAAGCUGAUCAAACACCCAAAUGUUACCCAGAUGUUUGAGGUAAUCUCUUCCAUUUUUAUUUUGUUGAAGAAAAAAAAUUAUAGGUGUUUUCGUUAUGAUCGUUAUAGUAGCUUUUUUUUUAAAAUGUGAAAUCUUAAAUUUGAUUGAUUGUAAAUGAUAUGAACAAUCAUAUAGCUUGUACAGGGGGUAUUGAAAUACGCAAUGAAUACCAUAUGCAUAUACAGAUUUCUUCGCACAUUUCUGAAUCGAGAACUUUUUGUGCUUAUGAAUAGGUCAUGGCAAGCAAAACUAAGAUCUACAUUGUUCUCGAGUUUGUUGAUGGGGGUGAGCUCUUUGACGAAAUAGUAAGCGAUUGUUGUUUCAACUUGCAUUAUCCCCGGUUGCACAAUACUCUUUUUGGUUAAAUACUAUGUUCUUACUUGUUACUUAGGACACAAGUCUUGUGUUUCUUUUGGAAAACACUCCCUUAUCAGUUCUGUUUUUCCUUAGGCCAAAAAUGGGAGACUGAAAGAGGAUGAGGCCAGGAGAUAUUUCCAACAGCUCAUUAAUGCUGUUGAUUACUGCCAUAGUAGAGGCGUGUACCAUCGAGAUUUGAAGGUUUAACAGACUUUAUAACUUUAUUACAGAUGCAUUGGUUGCAUACUGCGUGCAAUAGGAAUGAAAUAUUGGGUUUUUGGUUGCAUACUGCAUGCGAUAGGAAUGAAAUAUUGGGUUUCAUUAUUUGAGUAUUCAUCACUUAUAUCUUUUUACUUCUUCUGUAGCCCGAAAACCUUCUUCUGGAUUCAUAUGGUGUCCUGAAGAUUUCAGACUUUGGUCUCAGUACAUUUGAACAGCAAGUGCGGGUGAGUAAAAUUGUUGCAAAAAGAUUUUAGUGGAUGUAAAAUAUUGUAUUGAAGUUGAUUAUAGUUUAAUCCACAUGUACUGUUACCAGAAGUGAAUAUUCCUCUUGCUAUGAGGAGUGUAUUUGGAUCUUGUCGUUGGUGAGAAGUCGGAAUGUUCAAUUUGAUCUUGUUCCCGAUAUGUUAUAACUUAUGUUAUAUGACAUACUAAAGCAGAUAGUGUACACAUUUUGCAGGAAGAUGGCCUUCUUCAUACUGCCUGUGGGACUCCGAAUUAUGUUGCUCCUGAGGCAUUCACUUCUGACCUUAUGAAAACAAGUUAUUGCAUUACUGUUUGAUUAUGUUCUUUUGUUUCUCACAUUUGGUAUGUUUGUAUCAGGUGCUAAACAAUAAAGGUUAUGAUGGCACAUCAGCUGAUAUUUGGUCUUGCGGGGUCAUUCUCUUUGUACUCAUGGCUGGUUACCUGCCUUUUGAUGAACCAAGUCUUAUAGCGCUGUACCAAAAAGUACGUAAACAAGUUUCGCAUCCUCUGUUUAAAUGAUGGGAAUCUCUGGAUAACUUAUUAAUGUAUGGCUAUUGUUAAUUUCAGAUCUGCAAAGCUGAAUUUUCAUGUCCAGGAUGGUUUUCAUCCGGUGCAAAGAAAAUGAUUCAGCGCAUACUUGAUCCAAACCCUGUAACGGUGAGCUCCAAAGCCCUUUCUACUGUGCCAAAAUUCAAUAAGUACAUUCUUCCCAUAUGCUCUUGAAAGUUAUUAUUUGAGACCAUUGGUAUAUGAGCGUGCGCAUGUAAGCUCAUUAUACAGGCAUUACAGGGCAUUAAUACCUUAAUGCAGACGAUCAUUUGUUAUAUAGCCUGACUAGGUGUUCUUUUCUUGUUCUCUCCUUUUUUUUUUCUUUUUCUGUGACAGCGGACCACAAUUCCUGAGAUCUUAGAAAAUGAAUGGUUUAAGGAAGGGUACAAGCCAGCACAGUUCAAAGUGGAAGAGGAUGUAAAUCUAGAUGAUGUAGAUGCUGUUUUCGGCAACUCAAACGUAUGAAUAUUAGUCAUAAGUUAAUUUAUUUCUCUCAACCAUGAAUUUUUCUAGUUAUCUUUAGUCGGAAUAAUCUGUCAGUUUUUGUGUGCUUGAUAGAAUAUUGUCUUGAGUUUGUACACAUUCUGAAAUAGUCCUUUUCUUUUGGCUUGUUGCAGGAAAAAUUAGUAACGGAAAGGAAAGAGAAACCUGUAUCAAUGAAUGCUUUUGAGCUUAUUUCUAGCUCAAACAGUUUCAACCUGGAAAAUUUAUUUGAGAAGCAAAUGGUAUGUAGCAUGACAUUUUCUUAAUUCCUUUUUAUGAAUGCUUCGGUGUGGCGUUCUACAGUAUGAUUGUAUUUGCAGUUGCAAAAUACAUGUUUUGUUCCAAUUGUUAGUCGGACAGAAACUGGGAGCCUAGUAGAUUUAGGAAGAUUAGAAAAUCAAGGAUUCGCGGUAUUAGUGUUUAGGACUUAUAGGUUUUGUUGAAUCAAGAGCAUGCUUAGGCUCACAAUCCAUAGUGGCCUUCUAAUUCUUUGUAGUUGUCAAAGUUAUUCUGCAAGUUUUCUGCCUUCUGAUCAUUUGGAAUUCCAUACUAUAGGGUCUUGUGAAACGAGAAACCCGAUUUACUUCCCAACGCCCUGCAAAUGAAAUCAUGAACAAAAUUGAGGAAGCUGCAAAGCCUUUGGGCUUUAAUGUUCACAAGAGAGACUACAAGGUAAUGUGUUUUAUUCUACUCUUUCUCAUGCUGCACUUUAUAAGACUUGACUUAAUAUGCAAGUAUCCUAUCAAAACAACCUUCCUGUUAUGUUUAUAAAUUCCAAAUGUAUCUUCUGCUAAUUCCGAGCAAUUGCAGAUGAAGUUGCAAGGAGACAAGCAUGGCAGAAAGGGCCACCUCUCCGUAGCUACUGAGGUAUUGUCUGUGGCAUGUAUAUAUAUUAUGUGUUUGAUACAGUUAUUUGGAAAGCAAGUCAUCACUUAGUAAGGGUCAACUUGACAAAAACUAAAGAUGCUACUUUCGAUUAAGUACCAAAUCGUAAAACAUGGUGUAAUUAACUCUCUUCUUAACUUCUUGCUUAAGGUGUUCGAGAUGGCCCCCUCCGUGCACAUGGUAGAGCUCCGAAAAACUGGUGGUGACACACUAGAGUUUCACAAGGCAAGCGAACAUUUUAUAUUGAACAUUUUAGUUUCAAACAUUUUCCAUACUAUUUUUCAAGGGCCAACAUGCUGUCUACUGAUUCUGCCCUCUAAAUGUCUGUUACUACAGUUCUACAAAACUUUCUCAUCGGGUUUACAAGAUAUAGUGUGGAAAUCUGAAGAAACUACUGAAGAAUCAAGGUGAUCAUCUCUCUCUCUCUCUCGCUCUCUGCACGCUCGCUCAAGUGUACAUGUGAGCUCAUUGUUACGGAGAGUAUGCUUGUUGACAGAUGUUUUAAUUUUUUUUUUUUUGUGCAGGGCAUAAUAAAAACUCUUCUUUUGGUUCUUCUGAUCUGUUUUGGCCUGUGAUGCAUUUAGGUCUGAGACCUAUACAAAUGCAUAAUGGUCCAUGGAUGCAAAGGAAACUGGGAGCAUAUAUCGGGCAGCGUAGCCAGGCCUGAAGUGGUCCACGGUAACGAGAUAUGAAUCCCUCAGAACUGGGGUGGUCUGGAUUCUCUUCCUUUUAGUUCUAUGAAUUGAAUCCAUCGACGAUUUUGAAGAAACAAUUAUAUAUCAUUAGAGUGAAGUGAGAAAUUCUUGAUUCCCUGCUGUGAUGGAAGAUCGAACAAUGAACAUUCUUGAUUGUACUUUCCAAUUUUUUGACAGUCAUGUGAUACUUUGUUCAUGAUCAUCCCCAUGUAGCCAGCGAGUUCAAUUUUAAUUUUGAUAAGAACUUUGUGAUGUUAUUUAAAAUUCUACCAAUUUUUCUGAUUUAGCAACUCUGACCUAUGCUACCACUCAUCUUUUGUGGACAUUGAUAAGGAGGACUUAAGUUUACCGCCACUAUGGCGUCCUAUUCUAAAUUGCUCUCAUUGAUUAGAGCCUUCCACUUAGCAACACCUUGUUAUAUCGAUUGGAAACACUGACAAACGCCCAGAAUCGACCGAGCCUCCGCCGCUCCUCGCACUUGCUACCUGUCUUCAUCUUCUUCCUUGUGACCUGCGACGGUGCUACCCGUCUCACUCUCAGUCAGUGUCGCCGUCUCACUCUCAAUCUCUCACCCCCGUGAGCCGUGACGGCAUGACCCGCGACCUUCUCUGGCUCUGAGUCCUCUCUUCGUUUCCAUUCUCGAGUCUCUCGACCCACGACUGCCUUUGCAAGGUUAGUCAGUCAGUCUCUCAUGUUCUACAGAUUUCCUUUGAUAGUAAUGCUCACUAUUGUUGUCAAUUAGAAUGCUUACUAUUGUUGUCAAUUAGAAGAAUCUGAUGGGUAAGGAAUGGGUUGUCAAUUAGAAAAAAUGAGAGGUUUUGAUUUAUUGGUUUGUAACCAUUGGCUGUGCAUCUGAAGUUUGAACAUUCAUACCCUUGUGGUGAAAACUGGGUUCGACUUCGAUACUUUGUGUUCCCAUACGAAUAUGAACCAUCUUCUUCUUCAGCCAUCCGUUCGAUAGCCAAUUCAAUAAAUUUCUUUUUCACUGAUAUGUUACAGCAAUGUUGUUUAAUGGAAGUCGAAUUAUCAAAGCAAUGGUGAUAAAAUCGAUAGACGAAAAUUCACAAAUUGUGAUGCAGGCCUUGCAGAUUAUGGUGUCUCUGUCAAUUCAUAACUCGAUUUCAAAAAUUGUGUGUAUUUGGAAUGAAAUUAUUAAAUACAUGUAUUUCAAAUGAUUAAUUGUAACUAGUCAUUUCUGAGAGUGUUUUAUAGAAUAGUGAUUUUGUAUAUGCUGGUUUUGGAAAGGAUGGAAGGUACCAAAAAUGGUGAUGUUUGCACAGAACCAUACCGUCGGAAAGCUUAGUUAGCUUAGCCCUUAUCUCCAUUGGAGUUGGCUGACAAAAACCAUACCCUUAUCUGCAUUAAUAAGAUAUGCAUUUACAGUAGUUAAUAUAUAGUUUCUUCUUCCUUAUUAUAAUUUUGUUUCAUACUAAAAUAAAGGCUAGCUUUUGUAUGUAUAUAGAUAACCCAAGCUGCAGCAAAGAUCAGUUGUUUUGUAGACAAUCUAAGUUCUCACGUUCUGACAUGUUAUCCCUUCACUGACCCAUUGGAUGUUAUGUUCUGUUCUUUACAGCUAUAUGUUAUGUAAUUGGUGUAUGGGAAAGCUUUAUGAAUCUUGAUUUAGGGUUGUUCCCUAAUUGAAUCUUAUUAUAUGUUUUGUAUCUUAAUUAGAUGAGCUUGAGCUUGAAGAGAAGGUGUACUUGAGGACUUGAAGAGAAGAAGUGUGUGCUUGAGGACUUUAAAGUUUGGACGUUAUGUUUAUUUUAGGUGUGGAAGACUUGAAGUGUGAUUGUGUUGGAGAUGUUAAAAUUUCAGAUUUCAAUUAAAAAAAAAACAACCAACGAAAACCGAAAAAAAAGGGGCCGAACCGAACCUAACCAAAAUUUAUGUUUGGUUUCGGUUUUAGCAAAAAACGGAACCGAUUUGAACCGAACCUAGCCCUAGUACACAUCACUCACCACUGAUGCAAUAAUCUAUGUUUUGAAGAAAUUGGAUAAAAACCCAUGAAAGGGUUUGGAUCGAUUUGAGGCAAAUGAUAGGGAGGGCUUUUCCAUUUUUGUGCAAACUUUUGUGGUAAUUAUAGAGUAGUUGAAAAAAGGCUUUUCCAUUUCAAGCAUUUUUAUGAUAGGAUGAUCGAAGAUAAUGGGACGGAUAACGUUGUGAAGAGCGUGGUAGAUGUUGUUUUGGGGUAAGAGUGGAAUGAUAGGUUGAUAAGGAUUAAGGAAUUGGCUUGAAAUUGGUCAUCGCCGGUGGUGGCGGCACAGCUACGUGUUUGUCUGGGUUGGCAUGGCUGGGUAGAGUAACUAUUUUGUUUGUUUUUAUUUAAUCACUAUUUAAAUCACUAUUAAAAAACAAAAAGAACAUUUAAUAAAGAUGUUAACUAUAAUUAAGAGAUAAGACACAUGGCAAACAAGGAUGUGUAUGGUGAGCAUACACCAAAGUUAAUGUGGGUGAGCAAAAAGGAUCCGGCUUCUCUGCCCUCCCACUUCUCAUACACUCUCAUCUCCUCCUAUUUUGUACAGUUACAGUUAAGCCACAUCAACAUUUUAUAUUGAUUUUUUUAUAGAGAUAAUAAGAUAAAAAACAAUAGUAAUAUAAAAUAUUGACGUGA
Molecule: long non-coding RNA, 59129 nt
Filed under: Malus domestica (apple)
Lineage: Eukaryota; Viridiplantae; Streptophyta; Magnoliopsida; Rosales; Rosaceae
Description: long non-coding RNA (MDOM_LNC000897)
Source: RNAcentral